RNAcentral lists this long non-coding RNA (57341 nucleotides) under Triticum aestivum (bread wheat). RNAcentral describes it as "long non-coding RNA (TAES_LNC028108)". Lineage: Eukaryota; Viridiplantae; Streptophyta; Magnoliopsida; Poales; Poaceae. The record is from RNAcentral.
AUCAUCACCAGUGUUGUCAUCGGCGGCUUGGGGUCUCAUAUGAGAUGAAUUAGGUGUCCCCUACAUCAUAGAAUUAAUUUAGACACACCAGGAGAGCUUAUGGAGUAUUUUCUUUUAAAAGAAAAAUAGCAAAAUAAGUAGUAGUUAACUGUACAAUAAACUGGAUAUGUUCCUCAGUUGGUAAAGGAAUUGUUGAGACUGAAAAUAUACAAUAUUCUAAGUAUAUAUCUAGAUAUGAGGACGUACAGUCCUGUAGCACAGGAAUGAUACAAAGGUUAAAAUUAUUUCUUUAAAAUCUUCUCAUGGACUGGAUUGGCAUUGUAGCUUAGGGUUGUGUGUCAGUUUAAUAUAAUAUAAAAUUAAUCCCGAGCAGGCCUAGUACAAGAAUAAUUUUAGCUGAUGGUUAAGAAAAUCGGGUUUGCACAACAUUAACUUGGCACAAAACCUCAAGAAAACAUAAAUGGAUCCAACCACGCUGAGUGUAGGUUUGGGUGCACCAUGGUCCAGAAAAUCAUGUGUGUAUAGAUAUUCCAAUGAUUAAAAUACGAAGCUUUAAGAUAUCAAUGUUGCAAUUGGGAAAUGCAGUAUGCCGAGAAGGCUAUGUGCAAAAACUUACAUGUGGUUGGGAACUCGCUCCUUGGUGUAGCUCCGUUGGUAGUUCUUUUCCCAUCUCCUUAAAAAGGGCCUAUGAAAAAAAUAUGCAUCAGUAGAAUAGCUAGUUUUUUCAAUCACCAAUCUGAAAUAUGUGGACAAAUUUGAAAGUACCACUAGGAUCCGUUCAUGCAUAUCCACUUUAUGUUGCAGGUUCUCAUUAUGUCGCUGGAGGUUCUCAUUAUGUCACUUCAGCUCGUCAUUUUCUUGAACAGUUCGUCGAUGUUCUGCUGAAGUUGACGGCCUCAAUUUCUUUUCUCUAGCUAUUGAGAUAACAUCAGUCUUCUUAAUCGCCCCAUCUGUUAUUGCUAGUCCCCCAUGGGGAAUGCCACCAGAUGAUUCAUAUAAUAUUUGCCCAUCCAACUCUCGCUGCUCCCAAUCAUCAGGAUGUGCGGCUCUAGCCAAAUCAGAGUAAUCAUCCUAGAAAACUAGCGGUAUUAACUUGUAUAGAUGCAUGUAGAACAAGUACUUAGUGAAAAGAAGAUAAGCAAGAACAUACAUAGCUAGUUUUUUCAAUCACCAAUCUGAAAUAUGUGGACAAACUUGAAAGUACCACUAGGAUCCGUUCAUGCAUAUCCACUUUAUGUUGCAGGUUCUCAUUAUGUCGCUGCAGGUUCUCAUUAUGUCGCUUCAGCUCGUCAUUUUUUUGAACAGUUCGUCGAUGUGCUGCUGAAGUUGACGGCCUCAAUUUCUUUUCUCUAGCUGUUGAGAUAACAUCAGUCUUCUUAAUCGCCCCAUCUGUUAUUGCUAGUCCCCCAUGGGGAAUGCCACCAGAUGAUUCAUAUAAUAUUUCCCCAUCCAACUCUCGCUGCUCCCAAUCAUCAGGAUGUGCGGCUCUAGCCAAAUCAGAGUAAUCAUCCUAGAAAACUAGCGGUAUUAACUUGUAUAGAUGCAUGUAGAACAAGUACUUCGUGAAAAGAAGAUAAGCAAGAACGUACAUAGCUAGUUUUUUCAAUCACCAAUCUGAAAUAUGUGGACAAACUUGAAAGUACCACUAGGAUCCGUUCAUGCAUAUCCACUUUAUGUUGCAGGUUCUCAUUAUGUCGCUUCAGCUCAUCAUUUUCUUGAACAGUUCGUCGAUGUGCUGCUGGAGUUGACGGCCUCAAUUUCUUUUCUCUAGCUGUUGAGAUAACAUCAGUCUUCUUAAUCGCCCCAUCUGUUAUUGCUAGUCCCCCAUGGGGAAUGCCACCAGAUGAUUCAUAUAAUAUUUGCCCAUCCAACUCUCGCUGCUCCCAAUCAUCAGGAUGUGCGGCUCUAGCCAAAUCAGAGUAAUCAUCCUAGAAAAUUAGCGAUAUUAACUUGUAUAGAUGCAUGUAGAACAAGUACUUAGUGAAAAGAAGAUAAGCAAGAACGUACAAAGCGUUUUUUUGCCUUCCCGCUGAGGGUCGUGCUGGUGCUACCACUGCCAUCCCAAUUCUUGAGUCCAGAUUUCAUUGCAGCAUAUGUAUUCAACGUGGUAGCCUUCUCAGGUCCAUAUUUCUCAGCCUUCAAAACCAUAAAAAUUAAAUUAAUCAUAACCUGUUACAGUUUAUGAAAGAUAACAUACAUGCUCCACGCACCAGAAUUUGUUGAGCCUCCACAAAUGGAAGUGAACCUCCCCGAUUUUGAGCAAUGAUACGUCUCCAACGUAUCUAUAAUUUUUGAUUGUUCCAUGCUAUUAUAUUACCCCUUUUGGAUGUUUAUGGGCUUUAUUUUACACAUUUAUAUCAUUUUCGGGACUAACCUACUAACCGGAGGCCCAGCCCGUAUUGCUGUUUUUUUUGCCUAUUUCAGUAUUUCGAAGAAAAGGAAUAUCAAACGGAGUCCAAACGGAAUGAAACCUUCGGGAGCGUGAUUUUUGGAACGAUCGUGAUCCAGAGGACUUGGAGUGCAAGUCAAGAAGCAGCCGAGGUGGCCACGAGAGGGUAGGGCGCCCCCCCCCCUACAGGGCGCGCCCCCUGUCUCGUGGGCCCCUCGGGAUGCCACCGACGUACUUCUUCCUCCUACAUAAACCUACGUACCCCGAAAACAUCCAGGGAGCCACCGAAACACAAUUUCCACCGCCGUAACCUUCUGUAUCCGCGAGAUCCCAUCUUGGAGCCUUCGUCGGCGCUCUGCUGGAGGGGGAAUCGACCACAGAGGGCUUCUACAUCAACAUCAUAGCCCCUCCGAUGAGUUGUGAGUAGUUUACCACAGACCUUCGGGUCCAUAGUUAUUAGUUAGAUGGCUUCUUCUCUCUUUUUGGAUCUCAAUACAAUGUUCUCCCCCUCUCUUGUGCAGAUCUAUUCGAUGUAAACUCUUUUUGCGGUGUGUUUGUCGAGAUCCGAUAAAUUGUGGGUUUAUGAUCAAGUUUAUCUAUGAGAAAUAUUUGAAUCUCCUCUGAAUUCUUUUAUGUAUGAUUGAGUUAUCUUUGCAAGUCUCUUCGAAUUAUCAGUUUGGUUUGGCCUACUAGAUUGAUCUUUCUUGCCAUUGGAGAAGUGCUUAGCUUUGGGUUCAAUCUUGUGGUGUCCUUACCCAGUGACAGAAAGGGUUGCAAGGCACGUAUUGUAUUGUUGCCAUCGAGGGUAAAAAGAUGGGGUUUAUAUCAUAUUGCAUGAGUUUAUCCCCCUACAUCAUGUCAUCUUGCUUAAUGCGUUACUCUGUUCUUAUGAACUUAAUACUCCAGAUGCAGGCAGGAGUCGGUCAACAUGUGGAGUAAUAGUAGUAGAUGCAGGCAGGAGUCGGUCUACUUGUUGCGGACGUGAUGCCUAUAUACAUGAUCAUGCCUAGAUAAUCUCAUAAUUAUUCGCUUUUUUAUCAAUUGCUCAACAGUAAUUUGUUCACCCACCAUAAUACUUAUGCUAUCUCGAGUGAAACCUAUGGCCCCCGGGUCUAUCUAUUAUCAUAUUUGCUUUCAAUUUACUUUUAUUUUGCAUCUUUACUUUCUGCAUCUAUCUUAUAAAAUACCAAAAAUAUAUUUAUCUUAUCUUACUAUCUCUAUUAGAUCUCACUUCUGCAAGUGGCCGUGAAGGGAUUGACAACCCCUUUAUUGCGUUGGUUGCGAGUUCUUUGUUUGUUUGUAUAGGUGCGUGAGACUUUUGAGGAGCCUCCAACUGGAUUGAUACCUUGGUUCUCAAAAACUGAGGGAAAUACUUACGCUACUAUUGCUGCAUCACCCUUUCCUCUUCAAGGAGAACCAACGCAAGCUCAAGACGUAGCAAGAAGGAUUUAUGGCGCCGUUGCCGGGGAGGCUUCCACCAAGUCAAGUCAAGAUUCGACCUCCCGCCAACGUGCGAUUUCUGGCGCCGAUGCCGGGGAGGUCUUCGCUCAAGUCAAGACAUACGAAGUACCCAUCACAAACCCAUCUUCCUUGCAUUUACAUUAUUUGCCAUUUGCCUCUCGUUUUCCUCUCCCCCACUUCACCCUUGCCGUUUUAUUCACCCUCUCUUUCCCAAUCUCCUCCUCUCUUUUCGCUUGCCUUUUUCUGUUUGCUUGUGUGCUUGUUUGUCCUUAUGGCUUUACCUAAAAGUACCGACCACCUUCUGACAAGGAUGGAAGAGAUUGAUUCAAAUAUUAGAAGCUUUAUGAAUUUGCAAUUCGAGCAUAAUAAUUUCUUUAGAAAAGAGCUUAAGGAACAAAAAGGUUUUUUUGGGGUUUAUGAACAAAGAGCUUGAUGUAUGAAUAAAGAAUUUUAUGGUGUGAACUCUCAAAUUGCCCGUCUUGAAAAUGGUAUAGCCAAAAUUUCUGAUAAGCAAGCCACCUUAGUCAAUAAGAUGGCCGCAAAACCAGAAAAGUUAGAUGAAAAUAAUGAUGAAGAUCUUAAAGUUACUAGUAGAACGCCCGUGCGUUGUCACGGGCCUUUUAAUGUUUUUCGAUUACACAUAUAUACUUGUAUUGUUGUAUUUAAAAAAAAGUUAUAUUAUUGUAUAAACUUAAUGAUUUUUGGCCCCUUUCAAUGGCAUCGCCUUGGAACCCUUGUUGCUUGAUUAUUUUUAAACAUCGCCAUAAUCUAUACCCAUCUCUCGUAUAAUAUGCAAAAAUAAACAUAUAUACAAAUACACCUUUUAUAUUAUCAUACGCAACAUAUAUACAGAAGAACAAUUAUUUGUAUGUAUCUAUUCUGAUUGUGUAAGACUUGAUUAAUUUUUAGUCCUAUUCAUCGUAGUUACGUCAGUAACUUUGUCAAUCAACAUUUUCAAAGCAUCAUCCGAAAUAAGCUCAUGAUAAACUCCAAUCAGCCCCUGUCGUAUACAGUACUAUAUACUUCAAGUGACAAUUUUUUUAGCAGGAAAAAGAUUCGUAACCCACACAUGAUCAGACACUACAGCAGUCGCUAGUCCCCAAAAUAAUGGAUACAGGCCCUCACAUUACGGAUGAGUCCAACACAUAGUUUCACACGAAGUGAUCUCUUGUAAUAUGAUACUAUUGUUUGGGGGCUGUAAUAUGAUACUCUUUUGACCCACUUCUCUGCUUGAAAUAAGUUACACCAUCAAUCAAAAGGGAGGCCCAACAGAAGGUUUAGACAGACUAUUUGGCCACUUAUAAAUGGAGAAACUUUACUAAUGUAAUUCUUCAACUUGAAGUACCUGCACACAGUAAAACCUAUAAUCACUCAAAUAGAAAUAUGAAAAAUGCUUUGAUUUGUCACUCAAUAUGAUUUUUAGGAAGUUUGUGAUUUGUGGAUCUGCAGAGAAUAAGUAUGAUUGCUGCAUUGGGAAAGUAUGGACUGCUGCAUGCUGAAUAAACUUGGCUGGAAAUAUACCUAACCGACCGUGGUACUACUAACUAUAGAUGAAAGAUUUGAACCUGCAGACUUUCCUAUUCGAGAACAUCCAUUAUAAUGGACAAACAUAUUGUAGACACAAAGAAACAAUUAAUUUUAGGCAUAAUGAUAGGACCUACUAUCUAACAAAGUUUAAUGAGUAUACAUCAAGCUUUGCACAACCAUAUAGGAAGAGCAUAAGUAGUAUGGCGGUGCUUGGUAGACUACAACAAAAUCAUGUCUGAAGUGGAUAGAGAAACUAAAUAUGUGCGACAAGACACAACCGCUCCAUUCAGAGAUUAUGUAAUAGUCUCUUUUCAGAGAUUAUGUAAUAGUUGCAACGCACAGCCACGGUUAUAUACAAAUGAUAUUUAUACACGGUGAGCUCAAUAUCCAAUCUGUAUAGUAAUAAAGUGUAAUCAACACCAUGAAAAUCAUCCAAUGAGAGAUAGGAUUAUUAGGUAAAACUGACAAGUGACACACCAUUUUUUGUACUAAAGUUUAGUUACAAAGUGCAAGAUGUAAUCCAUGCAUGCCAUGAUUUACAAUGAGAUAUCUUAUUUGAACAGAGCCAUUAGCAAGCCCCCUGCCAAGAACAAAGCUGAGAGCAAGUCUCCAAAAUAACAUAAAGAAUCGAGAAUAGUAAUAACCAUAUUUUGCUUAGAACAAAAGGCUACUACGAAAUAGAAUUGGUGAUUCGACAUUUGGCCAUAUAUAUUUUCAAAACAAACUCAUACCUGCACAAAACUAUGAAAAUAACAUCUUGCGGAGCUGUGGUCUAUGGUAAUAAGCUGAGAGCAAGCAACCAAAAAGGCCAAGUCAUUCGGGAGCACCCGGGUCUAAGAAGAGGUGAGGUGGGAGAAGAGUACGUUGAUGUCUGGCACCCAUGCUGGUGACAGGUGGCCGGACCGCAUCGACACCACCCAUCCCUCCCGUCACCUCUCCAAACGUUACCCCUGAUGCCCAACCAGGGCUCCCUGCUUGGAUCUACAACUGGCACAAACCAGCCACCCGCUCAACGGCGCGAGAAGCCGGACCGGCGACAACCUGUAACCACAGAGAGAGACAGGAGCAUCCACUGAAACCACACGCAGAUGAUCCGCCGCCAAAGAACGUGCUGCACACCGCCAACACGCCGCCACCACCGUCUCCCUGCGCAAGAGUACACCGACGGGAGGUGAGGAAGCCCCAUUGCCACCGACACCGUCCCGGCUUUGCCUGGCGGUAGCGAGGAGGGAGGAUUGGGAGGGGGCGAGGGCCAGCGGCGCUGGGGUUCCCCCUGAUUGCGAAGCGGGCGCGACAAGGGAGGGAAGGGGGAAGGGGAAAGUUCUGUCUUUCCAACCGCAAAUGUGGAUUACACAAAUAGUGGAUGAAAAAUACAAAAACUGACUACAUUGGUUUGAUGCAAGUAGCAAUCAUGCAAUUGAAGUAGUUUCAUGUUCCUCACUUGAAACACGUCCCAAGACGACUUAUCAGUUCCUUUGCAUGCUCAAUCUAGUUCUGCAGCUUCUCUUAUGCAGCAUCUUGAGUUUCCACCCAUAUCGCCUUUGCUGAGGUAAGAGGUCUCUAUCCUUAUUAUGGGUGAAGCAAUAAAACAGCAAAAAAGGUAUAGGGACACAAUAUAGGUUGAGGGUGAAAGAAGUGGCAUAACUCCAGAGUCCAUAAAUAUGUAGGCUAACGCUCCAAUUCGAUGUGUGUAUUUCUGCAAUACCAACAUAAUUUUAUAAAGCAUACUGAUACUGCAUCAGAGGCCUAAAAAUCAGUAGCCUGAAAAUAUGUAGACCACAGCUAAUGCUCAAUUUUGAUGCACUAUUUAUUUUUGCAAUACCCAGAUAAUUUUAUAAAGCAUACUGAUACUGCAUCAGUGGCCUAAAAAUCAGUAGGCUAAAAAUAUGUACACCACGGCUGAGGCUCUAACUUAGUGACACAACACCCAUGUGGCUAUAGAAACUCACCAUUGAUUCGAUUUGAUGUGUGUAAGUCAUGUGCCGACUGGCCUUUCCUGUGUCAUUUUGUCCAAUAUAGACAUAGGACAUCCGACAUUCAGUAACUGGAACCCCUGAAAUUUGUCAAGAAAAUUGAUGUGACAACUAAAGACAUGACACACGCAUGCUCCAAUGCCUCUUAUGCAAGAUUAUAAACAAAAGAUUGAGUACAAAGAUAAUUAAUUUGAAGCUCAUUUAAGUAUGAUACCCGAAUCAUGAGGACGAAUGCUUUUGGUAUCCUUAAAAUUUCCAGAUAUAUUUAUUUUUUAUGUUGGAACCACACUGAAUAGCUACCAUUGACCAUCAUUAUGUGAAAUUUAGGAGCUUUUCCACCUUUUUGUGGAUAGAAAAACAGAAGGAAAGAAACAAGCUUAUUGUCCUCCUAUACAUGCCUCGUUGACAUUAAAUUAUUUGAUAGAUAAGCAAGUAAGUAAUUUGUUGUCAUUGCAAAUGGUACACUGCAUUGACAGUAAAUCAUAAUAUAGAUAAGAAAAUAGGAAGGGCAUCACAACAUAUACAAGGCUCUACAACCAAGUACAUGCCUUUCUCAUGGCUUUGGCUUUAAAGAUAGCAGCUUUAACUUCACUUGCAGUCUUCAUGUGUCGAGAAACACCCAACAUUAGCUAUCAUUUUUUCUAUUUCGUCCAGAAAGGCUUGCUGAAAAUUGCCAAAAAAAUACAAAAUAGAAGAAACAUCAGAGCAUGUUCUUAAGCAUAGUGGUAUUACCAGAAAAAAAAUCAAGCUAACAGCAAGAACUGUAUUCGGACUAAUAUAUGUUUGAAGCCUGGUUCUUAAAGCAAGGGAGAUAUUUUAACUGGAAAGUACAUUUUCUUCGCCUCUUGGUGCAAGUUCUUAUUUACCAAACUCUAGAGCUUGAUGUAUUUACCCCACGAGAAUCAACUUUAUCAGCUUUUCUAGCUGCAGAUGAAAGUAUUAUUGGGAAUGUGUACCCUAAAUCUGAAUGUCAUAACACAUGAGUCAAGAAAAGAAGUUAAAAUUUAAUGAAGGCUCUAUAGAGAAAAUUCAAUUUUUACAAAUGGUUGUGACCAAACUCCAUUGUGAAAAAAAUGCACUAUAAAACCCUACACCAGCUAUAUAUAUCUUUCCCUACUAAUAAAGCAAAUAGUGCUUCUGGUCGUCCGUCAGGAAAAUUGCCCCCGAAGUUCGCACUAAUUACCCGCUAUGCCACCGCUAAGUGAGAAAAAACGUUUCGCGGCUGCAUCCACCUUGUGUUUGGUUCAUAUUGAACAAUCCUCUCAGAUAUCGCAUGCAUAUGUAUCUAUCCCGCUGGUUGGAGCUUGUGUCUUGCGUCCUGUAGACCCGGGUUCGAUCCCUGCUGCCCCUUAUUUUUUCUUUCUUUUCUUUUGGCUGCACCACGAGUUCGAUGCCUGCUGGCCCUUAUUUUUUUCUUUCUUUUCUUUUGGUUGCACCACGCAACCGCUGCUCGACCCGACCUGUUUUUUUCUCUUUGUUUAAUUUCUUUUUUCAAAUUCAAAUCUUUGAAAAAUACUGAUAUCUGUCAAAUUCUAACUUCAAAUCUAACAUGUUAUAUGUGAAAAUAUCUCAGAAAAUAUGUAGAUUUUAAAUAUGCUAUUAUCUUGCAUGUUAAUCAUUUUUAAAAUUAUGUUUAGGAUGCAUCAUAGUUUGAUGCUCUCACAAAAGCUAUUACAAAUGAAACAUAAUAUUGCAAAAAAAUGUUAGUCACCACAAAAAUGAUUCCAUUUUAAAAAUAUUCUCAAAAAUUAGAUAAAACACCUUCUCAAAUUAAAUAUAUAUUCAUGUUUUUCUGAACAACAAAAAUAAAAAUGAUUGAAAGACUCGUUCAUCGGAGAGCUGAAAUGGGUCAUGACAAACAUUGCUAUGAUACGUCCAAAUUCCAUAGUCCAAAAAGAAAUACUCAAUGUAACUUUAUUGCUGACGUUUGCAAAAAUUAAAUUAAAAAAGUUUUACAUAAUUACAUCGGAGAUUAUGAUUUUUUUUCUCUCUCGUUGCAACGCACGGGCCCUUUUGCUAGUAGUAGUAAACACUACAAAACUUCAGUCAGCAGUAUACAAACAAUAUCAUCACACCACUGGCUAAAAGGAGCAAAUACAGUUUUCUUCUCAGUCAAACAAAGAUCAAAUUUGUUAUAGGCAUAUACCUAAGUUCCAUGUAGAAGAAGAACAACCUAUAACAAAAAAGCAUGGUCCAAAGACAAGCCACGUCAAUAAUCGUUGAUGGAUUAACAUUUUGUCCCACUAUGCUAUGCGGUAGUUUAGAUGAAAAAUUAAUACAUAUCACUCACCAGCAAUAUGCAAAUGUAGUGAAGAAAGGGCUAUAAUUCUUAGCUAUUGCGCUUCUGUAAUUGAAAAGCUACGUAUAAGAUGACUGGUCAUAAGGUACUCCUUCUGUUGUCAUUCAUCCGACCAAAACAAGACUAAAUUGAUCCAGCUAGUUUUACGAUAAUUACACAUAAACAAGAACUUGUAAAUGUAAUAAAAUGGUAUGAGCACAUAUGGUAUAUAUACCUCGUUGUGGUCGUCGUCCUUCUUGAGGGGAGUGGAUCCAUUCCUUAAAUUAUGUCCAGCUUUAUGUUCCAAAAUGGAGUUAUUCAUGUUGCCCUUGAUGACUAUAGAAAGAACUGCAGGUUUGAAUAACUAAUCCAUGAAGAAACUGGAGUGCAUUCAAAUGGAAAAAAGAAUCACAUAAAAGACUUCCUUCUUCGAUUUAUAGAGAAGCAAUAUCAAUAUCUCAAUAACCUUUUUGGAUCUCCAUAUUACAUUAUCAGUUUAAUGCAUAUGCACGAAAAAAUGAAUAGUAAAGCACACAUAAAAAAUAAGGGCUGCCAGCAAUAUGGAUAAUCUUGCAUUGCAAGAGGAUACAAGCUGAGCAUUAAAAGAAAAGAGACGACAUAACCUAAAAUGUUUCUGAACUUGCAUGAAAAUCGGAGAUAUCACCAAGAGGAUCUUUCUAAACUUGCAAGAAAACAGGGAAUAUGCCUAAGAUAUGAGCUGCUAGAGGGAGGGUGUGCAUGAACUGACGCCAGUCUUUGGCUGAGUUGCCAUGCGUUGGAGGUCGAAGGUGUUUUUUUUUGCGCGGACAAAAAAUAAAUAAAUAGAACUUAACUUUGCACGGUUCAAUACUAUUGCUGAAAGAUGAUCUUAUCCUAGAAGUGGACUUUGCAUACCAUUAAGUAAUUUAAUACUACAUAAGUCUAAGCUUUGGAGUUCUAGCAUAUAAAAUAAAUAAUUUGGGAACAGUUCCUAGAGCCUGGCACUAAGAGCAAAGUGUACGUGAAGAUCUUGAAAUUAAGAUUCGGACUAUAUUUCUACUUCCAGUUUGGAGACAAUUACAUCUCGGGUAAUUGAUCGGACGUAGAUGAUUGUUGAAGUAUGACCCAAACCUAAAAUUUCCAUCGAAAAUAUAAGGUUAGAUGAAAAGUUCUAAAAUCAAAAACUGUUGGAUGAUUCCAAAAUCACCCAACAGAAAACGUGCAAUUGGGUAUAUUUAUUUCAUAUAAAUAUAUAUAAAAUAAAUGACAGCACAAGUGAAAGCAUUACCUAAUUUGUCGAAUGCACUCCAUGUAACAAAUGAAUGGUUCACUGCCAUGUCCAAUAAUGUAGAAGUAUGACCCUAACAUGAAAAGACACAUGAGCGCAAAUAUAGAUGAUAAUUCUCCGAAUGAUUUUGCCUGUGGAGUCUGAAUGGUUUCUUCACCAUGGUGUUAUACCACAUCACAGAAAACGUGCAAUUUGGUACAUGUGACUAUGUGAGUGCCACCAGACAAGGUGAAACCAUAAAAAGAACACCACAAGCAUAUAAAUUUUACACCAUACAUAAGUGAAUUAAUCAUCUCAAUUUUGGACAUUUACAUGACGGCUCAAUUGAAAAAGUAUUUUUCGAUUUGGGCCCACUUCUCUUCAGUUUUUCCAUUCAUUCAGAUAACCAUAAAAAAAUGCUACUGCAACAAUUACCUGCAGUGCAAAGUGAUCUGAGGGAUAUCAAAUCUUUUUCAAAUGGAUCGGUGUGUGGGAUAAAAAAUUACCCUCGAUCAAGUCGUUGAGUUCUUCACAUGUGUCAGUUCAACCUCUGUCACUUAAUACAUGCAAACCAAAUCAUAUUUUAGAAGGGCGGAUCCAGUGAAUCCUCUAACAGGUUUACCAGGUAAGGAACGACUCAUAGCUUGUCCAGGCAUUGCGUUAGAUAUCAAUUCUUGCACCACAAUAUCAAAAUCCUUCGCAACAAAAUCUGGUGCUGGAGUAUUAAAAAUGGUGAAGUCCGCCGUUGCCGGAAUGGCAGUGACCUGCUGAUAAGACGCUGCUACUGCUGCAUGCCAUUGGCAUCCUUCUUCGCGGCCUCGUCCUCUAUCACCGCAUCUGCAUGGUAAGAGAGGAGCACAAGUAAAAAAGGACUUACACGCGGCCGGUGGAGUGGUGGCGGCCGGGUAGCCGCCAGCGCCUUCCACCAACCGCUAGUGCCCACCCCCGGCGCCCAUCACCCCAUUGUCUUUUCGCUGCAGCUGCACCAGCACGACACAGGACAGGAGCACAGUCAGUGGCGGAGGACGGAAAAAAAUUAAGGUGAGGCAGACCUUGCACCGGCUACCACCUGACGCCACAUAAGCUGGCUACAUAAUUCAGUUAAAACUUUGAGCCAAACACCAGUUAUAAUAUCCUGUGAUGUAAAAUUACCAAGCAUCACGAUGGCUGGGACGUCCUCUCGUAGGCAGUUAGCCGGGCCGCGCGCUCACGAAGGAUGGCGGGAGCCGAGACCAGGGGAGCUGGGCAUGGGGAGGCUGGGACGGCAGCCGGCGGCGCGACGUUGGAGGCUUGGAGCACCUAGUGCGUACAUGCAGAGGAAAAGAAUCAAGUCGUGCAAUGCUGGAUCGGUGGAUGCUUUCAUGCUUUUUUCUGGACUGUGCUGGGUUGAAACCUAGGCAUCCGAUGAAAUCAAGCAGCGAUGUAUAAAUCAAGGCGGACGCACGACCUCCGCAUGUGAGCACAGUAAGCAGCAGCAGCACGAACACAAGGGGGGCCAGCCACGAACAACAACAUCGGUACGGGCCGGCCACGAGCACACGGGGUCGACGGCGGGUAAUAGCAGCACCUGCGACAUCACGGGGCGGCAGCAUCGAGCUGGUAACCCUAACCCUAGGUCGCCGGCCCGGGGCAAAUUGGGUGAGCCAGAGAAAGAGGAUUGACCUAGCUGUCUCCGCCGCCGAGGACCACAGGGAAUCGCCGGGAGGAGGAGCCCUCGUCUUCCUUCGAGCACCAGCAGAGACAGAGGGGCGGCGGGUUUCGAUUUUUGAUUAGGUGAUGGACGAAGAGGAGAGCGGGAGGGAUCUGUAGAGAGGCACGAGAUCUCGGCGGCGGCGAAGGGCAACUCCUCUCGGCGGCGGAGCAGGAGAUGGGGCGGCGGCGGUAGAGCAGGAGAUGGGGCGGCGGCGGUGGAGCGGGAGACGAGGGAAAGAGAGAGGCCACAGCGGGAGGGGGUGGAUCGAGAGGAGGGGCGGGGUACAGUUUUUUUUCUAGGUAUGGGGAGGUGGGACGAUAAAAACCGACGAAAAAAACCCAGCAAAGGUGGGAGGACGAAAUAAAACCAGCGAAAAAUAACCGACAGACUAUUCACCAACUGCUCCAUUAGGAGUAGAGAUUGACGUGUCUCCUAUUAGAUCUUUGUUUUGCAAUAUGAAUCUUGAUAAUAAUGGGACUGAAUAUGCAUGAGUAGGCGUCCCAAGAAUUUGGAGUUUUUAGAUCUUGAUGUUAAAUUUGGUAAAAGUGGGAUUGGAGAGGCCAUGACUUUAAAUAGUAUUUAACCUACUAUCUCGGAUUUCAAGGAAUUCGAUUAUGAUAAUUGUUCUUUACAAGGUUGUAUUUCCUUGUUGCAAUCCCUUGUUAAUUCUCCUCAUGCUUAUAGUCAAAAUAAAGUUUUUACCAAACAUAUCAUUGAUGCCUUGAUGCAAUCUUAUGAUGAAAAACUUAAUUUGGAAGUUUCUAUACCUAGAAAAUUUAAUGAUGAGUGGGAACCUACUAUAAAGAUUAGAAUUAAAGAUCAUGAGUGUUUUGCUUUUUGUGAUUUGGGUGCUAGUGUUUCCACGAUUCCGAAAACUUUAUGUGAUAUUCUAGGUUUCCAUGAUCUUGAUGAUUGCUCUUUAAAUUUGCACCUUGCGGAUUCCACCAUUAAAAAGCCAAUGGGAAGGAUCAAUGAUGUUCUCAUUGUUGCAAAUAGAAAUUUGGUGCCCAUAGAUUUUAUCGUUCUUGAUAUAGAUUGCAAUCUUUCUUGCCCUAUUAUUCUUGGUAGACCUUUCCUUAGAACGAUUGGUGCAAUUAUUGAUAUGAAGGAAGGGAAUAUUAGAUUCCAGUUUCCAUUAAAGAAAGGCAUGAAGCACUUUCCAAGAAAGAAAGUCAAAUUACCUUAUGAAUCUAUCAUGCGUACUACUUAUGAAUCAAGUGCCAAAGAUGGCACUACUUAGAUCUAUCCUCGCUUUUAUGCCUAGCUACGGGCGUUAAACGAUAGCGCUAGUUGGGAGGCAACCCAAUUUUCUCUGUGUUUUUUGUUUUUAUUCCUGUUUAGUAAUAAAUCUUGCAUCUACCUUCUGUUUAGAUGUGUUUUUAUGUUUUAAUUACUGUUUGUGCCAAGUAGAACCUAUAGGAUAACCGAUGAUGAUAGUUAAUUUGAUUAUACUGAAAAAUAGAAACUUUGCGGCACGAAUUUAAUUUUGUUAAAUCACAGAAACGUGCUUUUGCGUUGAUUAUUUUUGCUGCUAAUCAAUAAACAAAUUUUUCAGGACUUCCUAUUUUGGUAGGAGUUUUAGAGUUCCAGAAGUUUGCGUUAGUUAUAGAUUGCUACAGACUAUUCUGUUUUUGACAGAUUCUGUUUUUCGUGUGUUGUUUGCUUAUUUUGAUGCAUCUAUGGCUAGUAAAAUAGUUUAUAAACCAUAGAGAAGUUGGAAUACAGUAGGUUUAACACCAAAAUAAGUAAAUAAUGAGUUCAUUACAGUACCUUAUGUGGUGGUUUUGUUUUCUUUCACUAACGGAGCUUAUAAGAUUUCCUGUUGAGUUUUGUGUUGUGAAGUUUUCAAGUUUUGGGUAAAGCUUUUAUGGACUAUGGAAUAAGGAGUGGCAAGAGCCUAAGCUUGGGGAUGCCCAUGGCACCCCAAGAUAUUCAAGAAUAGACAAAAUCCUAAGCUUGGGGAUGCCCCGGGAAGGCAUCCCCUCUUUCGUCUUCGUUCAUUGGUAACUUUACUUGGAGCUAUACUUUUAUUCGCCACAUGAUAUGUGUUUUGCUUGGAGCGUCGUAUAUUAUAUUAGUCUUUGAUUUUUAGUUUACCACAAUCAUCCUUGCUGUACACACCUUCUGGGAGAAGCCUACUUGAUUAGAAUUUGGUAGAAUACUCUAUGUGCUUCACUUAUAUCUUUUGAGCUUGAUAGUUUUUGCUCUAGUGCUUCACUAAUAUUUUUUUGGAGCACGGUGGUAACUUAAUUUUGAAGAAAUUGCUAGUCUCUCAUGCUUCACUUAUAUUAUUUUGAGAGUCUUUUAGAACAACAUGGUAUUUGCUUUGGUUACAAAUUUGGUCCUAGAAUGAUGAGCAUCCAAGUUGGCUAUAAUAAAAACUAUCAUAGGAAGUGAAUUGGAUGCUAUGAUCAAUUUGUUGCUUGAUAAUUAUUUUGAGAUAUAAAGGUAGUAAUGUUAGGGUCAUGCUAGUGGAUAAUUAUGAAAUUGAGAGAUACUUUUUUUGAAGUUGGCAAGUCCCGUAGCACGCACGUAUGGUAAAAGUUGUGUGACAAAUUUGUUGCAUGAGGUGCUCUUUUGAUUGUCUUCCUUAUGAGUGGCAGUCGGGGACGAGUGAUGGUCUUUUCCUACCAAUCUAUCCCUCUUGGGGCAUGCGUAGUAGUACUUUGCUUCGAGGGCUAAGUAGACUUUUGCAAUAAGUAUAUGAGUUCUUUAUGACUAAUGUGAGUCCAUGGAUAUACGCACACUCAUCCUUCCACUUUGCUAGCCUCUCUUAUUACCGCGCAACUUUCGCCGAUAUCGAACCCAUUAUUUACCUUCCUCAAAACAGCCACCAUACCUACCUAUUAUGGCAUUUUCAUAGCCAUUCCGAGAUAUAUUGCCAUGCAACUUUCCACCAUUCCGUUUAUUAUGACACAUUUCAUCAUUGUCAUAUUGCUCUUUGCAUGAUCAUGUAGUUGAUAUCAUAUUUGUGGCAAGGCCACCUUCAUAAUUUUCAUACAUGUCGCUCUUGAUUCAUUGCAUAUCCCGGUACACUGCCAGAGGCAUUCAUAUAGAGUCACAUCUUGUUCUAGCUUUGAGUUGUAAUUCUUAAGUUGUAAAUACAUAAAAGUGUGAUGAUCUUCAUUAUUAAAGCAUUGUCUCAGUGAGGAAAGGAUGAUGAAGACUAUGAUUCCCCCACAAGUCGGGAUGAGACUUCGGACUUUACAAAAAGAAAAAAAAGAAGAAAAAAAGAGAAAGCCCAAAAAGAAAAAAAGAGGCCAAAGAAAAAAAAAGAGAAAAAGAAAAAAAUAAAAAAAGAGAAAAGAAAAUAAAAUAAAAUGAGAGAAACAGAGAGAAGGGACUAUGCUACUAUCUCUUUUUCCACACUUGUGCUUCAAAGUAGCACCAUGAUCUUCAUGAUAAAGAGUCUCCUAUGUUGUCACUUUCAUAUACUAGUGGGAUUUUUUUAUUAUAGAACUUGGCUUGUAUAUUCCAAUGAUGGGCUUCCUCAAAAUGCCCUAGGUCUUCGUGAGCAAGAGAGUUGGAUGCACACCCACUUAGUUUCUUUUGUUGAGCUUUCAUAUAUUUAUAGCUCUAGUGCAUCCGUUGCAUGGCAAUCCCUACUCACUCACAUUGAUAUCUAUUGAUGGGCAUCUCCAUAGCCCGUUGAUACUCCUACUUGAUGUGAGACUAUCUUCUCCCUCUUUUUGUCCUCACAACCACCACCAUUUACUACCAUAGUGCUAUGUCCAUGGCUUGCGCUCAUGUAUUGCGUAAGAGUUGAAAAAAGCUGAAGCGCGUUAAAAAGUAUGAAACAAUUGCUCGGCUUGUCUUCAGGGUUGUGCAUGAUGGGAGUAUUUUGUGUAAUGAAAAUGAAGCAUGGCCUAACUGUAUGAUUUUGUAGGGAUAAACUUUCUUUGGCUAUGGUAUUUUGAUAGGACAUGCUUAUUUGUUAGUAUGCUUCGAAGUAUUAUUAUUUUUAUGUUUUAUAAGCUUUUAUCUUGAAUCAUUUGGAUCUGAACAUUCAUGCCACAAUAAAGAGAAUUACAUUGAGAAAUAUGCUAGGUAGCAUUCCACAUAAAAAAUUGUGUUUUUAUCAUUUACCUACUCGAGGACGAGCAGGAAUUAAGCUUGGGUAUGCUUGAUAUGUCUCCAACGUAUCUACAAUUUUUGAUUGUUCCAUGCUAUUAUAUUACCCCUUUUGGAUGUUUAUGGGCUUUAUUUUACACAUUUAUAUCAUUUUUGCGACUAACCUACUAACCGGAGGCCCAACCCGUAUUGCUGUUUUUUUGCCUAUUUCAGUAUUUCGAAGAAAAGGAAUAUCAAACGGAGUCCAAACGGAAUGAAACCUUCGGGAGCGUGAUUUUUGGAACGAACGUGAUCCAGAGGACUUGGAGUGCAAGUCAAGAAGCAGUCGAGGCGGCCACGAGAGGGUAGGGCGCGCCCCUUGUCUCGUGGGCCCCUCGGGCGGCCACCGACGUACUUCUUCCUCCUAUAUAAGCCUACGUACCCCGAAAACAUCCAGGGAGCCAGCGAAGCACAAUUUCCACCGCCGUAACCUUCUGUAUUCGCGAGAUCCCAUCUUGGAGCCUUCUCCAAUGCUUCGCCGGAGGGGGAAUCGACCACAGAGGGCUUCUACAUCAACACCAUAGCCCCUCCGAUGAGUUGUGAGUAGUUUACCACAGACCUUCGGGUCCAUAGUUAUUAGCUAGAUGGCUUCUUCUCUCUUUUUGGAUCUCAAUACAAUGUUGUCCCCCUCUCUUGUGGAGAUCUAUUCGAUGUAAACUCUUUUUGCAGUGUGUUUGUCGAGAUCCGAUGAAUUGUGGGUUUAUGAUCAAGUUUAUCUAUGAUAAAUAUUUGAAUCUCCUCUGAAUUCUUUUAUGUAUGAUUGAGUUAUCUUUGCAAGUCUCUUCGAAUUAUCAGUUUGGUUUGGCCUACUAGAUUGAUCUUUCUUGCCGUGGGAGAAGUGCUUAGCUUUGGGUUCAAUCUUGUGGUGUCCUUACCCAGUGACAAAAAUGGUUGCAAGGCACAUAUUGUAUUGUUGCCAUCGAGGAUAAAAAGAUGGGGUUUAUAUCAUAUUGCAUGAGUUUAUCCCUCUACAUUAUGUCAUCUUGCUUAAGGCGUUACUCUGUUCUUAUGAACUUAAUACUCUAGAUGCAGGCAGGAGUCGGUCGAUGUGUGGAGUAAUAGUAGUAGAUGCAGGCAGGAGUCGGUAUACUUGUUGCGGACAUGAUGCCUAUAUACAUGAUCAUGCCUAGAUAAUCUCAUAAUUAUUCGCUUUUCUAUCAAUUGCUAGACAGUAAUUUGUUCACCCACCAUAAUACUUAUGCUAUCUCGAGAGAAGCCUGAUAUGUCUCCAACGUAUCUAUAAUUUAUGAAGCAUUCAUGCUAUUUUAUUAUCUGUUUUGCAUGAUUACGGGCUUUAUUAUGCACUUUUAUAUUAGUUUUGGGACUAACCUAUUAACCGGAGGCCCAACCUAUAUUGCUGUUUUAUUGCAUGUUUCAGUAUUUCGAAGAAAAGGAAUAUCAAACGGAGUCCAAACAGAAUGAAACCUUUGGCAGCAUUAUUUUUGGGAAGAAUAUCACCCAGGAGACUUGGAGUUCACGUCAGAAGAGCCUCGAGGAGGCCACGAGAUAGGAGGGCGCGCCCCCCCUACUGGGCGUGCCCCCUGUCUUGUGGGCCCCUCGAGCACCCCCCGACCGACUUCUUUCGCCUAUAUAAGCCUACGUACCCUAAAACCAUCGAAUAUCAAGAUAGAUCGGGAGUUCCGCCGCCGCAAGCCUCUGUAGCCACGAAAAACCUCUCGAGAGCUCGUUCCGGCACCCUGCCGGAGGGGGAACCCAUCACCGGUGGCCAUCUUCAUCAUCCCGGCGCUCUCCAUGACGAGGAGGGAGUAGUUCACCCUCGGGGCUGAGGGUAUGUACCAGUAGCUAUGUGUUUGAUCUCUCUCUCUUGUGUUCUCUCUAUGGCAUGAUCUUGAUGUAUCGCGAGCUUUUCUAUUAUAGUUGCAUCUUAUGAUGUUUCUCCCCAUCUACUCUCUUGUGAUGAACUGAGUUUCCCUCUUGAAGUUAUCUUAUUGGAUUGAGUCUUUAUGAUGAGAACACUUGAUGUAUGUCUUGCCGUGUUUAUCUGUGGUGACAAUGGGAUAUCACGUGCCACUUGAUCUAUGUUUUGGUGACCAACUUGCGGGUUCCGCCCAUGAACCUAUGCAUAGGGGUUGGCACACGUUUUCUUGACUCUCCGGUAGAAACUUUGGGGCACUCUUUGAAGUACUUUGUCUUGGUUGGAUGAAUCCGAGAUUGUGUGAUGCAUAUCGUAUAAUCAUGCCCACGGAUACAUGAGGUGACAAUGGAGUAUCUAGGUGAAAUUAGGGUUUUGGUUGAUUUGUGUCUUAAGGUGUUAUUCUAGUACGAACUCUUUAAUAGAUCGAUCCGAAAGAAUAACUUUGAGGUGGUUUCGUACCCUACCAUAAUCUCUACGUUUGUUCUCCGCUAUUAGUGGCUUUGGAGUGACUCUUUGUUGCAUGUUGAUGGAUUGUUAUAUGAUCUAUCUAUGUUAUUAUUGUUGAGAGAACUUGCACUAGUGAAAGUAUGAACCCUAGGCCUUGUUUCCUAUCAUUGCAAUACCGUUUACGCUCACUUUUAUCAUUAGUUACCUUGCUGUUUUUAUUAUUUCAGAUUACAAAUACCUUUAUCUACCAUCCAUAUUGCACUUGUAGCUUCAUCUCUUCGCCGAACUAGUGCACCUAUACAAUUUACCAUUGUAUUUGGUGUGUUGGGGACACAAGAGACUCUUUGUUAUUUGGUUGCAGGGUUGCUUGAGAGAGACCAUCUUCAUCCUACGCCUCCUACGGAUUGAUAAACCUUAGGUCAUCCACUUGAGGGAAAUUUGCUACUGUCCUACAAACCUGUGCACUUGCAGGCCCAACAACGUCUACAAGAAGAAGGUUGUGUAGUAGACAUCAAAGCCUCUAGUGAAACCUAUGGCCCCUGGGUCUAUCUAUUAUCAUAUUUGCUUUCUAUCUACUUUUAUUUUGCAUCUUUACUUUUUGCAUCUAUCUUAUAAAAUACCAAAAUAUAUUUAUCUUAUCAUACUAUCUCUAUUAGAUCUCACUUCCGCAAGUGGCCGUGAAGGGAUUGACAACCCCUUUAUUGCGUUGGUUGCGAGUUCUUUGUUUAUUUGUGUAGGUGCGUGGGACUUUUGAGGAGCCUCCUAUUGGAUUGAUACCUUGGUUCUCAAAAACUGAGGGAAAUACUUACACUACUAUUGCUGCAUCACCCUUUCCUCUUCAAGGAAAACCAACGCAAGCUCAAGACGUAGCAAGCAACAUCUUCACUCUUGAAUCGAGAUUCCUGCCCUCUCUUCCUUAAGGACUUGAACGUCUUUAAGCACCAAUAAGCACAAAGAUGAGGCCAUGCAUGUUCCUUAAAUGAUGGUAUUUUGCAUUCCAAGUAUUUGGCAUAUUCAAGUUCUUUUGAACAUGCCGACGUGUCACCAAGCCGCUCUCCUUGUUUCUCAAAGUAGAACUUCACAGCAUCCACACGAAGUUGAUACAUCAUGUCUCUCACUUUUUUCAUUGCGUAAUUGUCCAACACACGAUCAGCAUCAUUCUCCACCUUGUCUGGAUCUUCAUCAUCUUUCAAGUGGAUCUCAAACAAGUUCUACAAGUUUAUAGAUUUUCAUGUCAAAUAUGUAUGUGCAAUACAAAUUUUCAAAUUUUCAAAUUAACUCCCAGGUACUUGGAACUUACCCAAAAAACUUCCUUCACACGAUCUGCAGCAGUCUGCCCCUUAUCAUCUAGAGUAUCAUUCAUAAUAAUCAGACCACUCCAAAGCUAGGCGGGUUUUAAUGACAAUAUCACCUUCCUUCUUCUCAAUUAUCCAUGGGUGUUCUCGUUUAAGAAUGAUUCCAAGUUGCAUAUUAUACUUGUAUUGCUUGGAAUUAGGGUCAGCAUAUUUAAAUUGCCUAAACAACAAGAUAAGCACCAUUAGCACCAUUAACUAAGACGAUGAUAAUAUGAGUCAAGCAUAAAACUAACCAUGCGUUAAUAAACAACCAUACCUGUCACCUCCUGGUUCAAGACCAACCCUGUGACCAUGUGGAGGCACUCUUAAUUCUGUUGUGGCCCUCCUUUUCCUCCCUCUUUGACGAGAUGUUGGCUGCCUUGUGCUCAUAUCACUAUUUUGAGAUAAAGGACCAGUGGAGUUAACACCAUCAGAUCAGGACCUUUGUGCUAUCGUUGCUGGUGUUGCCUGAACCAACAAGAGCAUUCCGGUUAGCACGGCUGCCACCAUAGCUAGUACGUCUGUGACGCAGCACAAGCAUCUCCUGCACAAAUUCAGAUGUUAGUUCAAGUUUACAAAGCACAAGCCUACAAUUUAGUAAGCAAGUUUGAGCCAUACUCCAUAAAUACAACCAAAAAAAGUAGCAUGUUUUAGUUGCACUCAACAUACAUGCACAAAAUAGUGCAUCAAACACUCAAGUUUUAGUUGCACUGAACAUACAUGCACAAAAUAGUACAUAAAACACUCAAGUUUUGGCUACAAUCAUCACAGAAAUUUUAACUAACAGAAAAUACAACAACUCAUGAGACUAGAAAUCAUUUUCAUCAUAAGAUGGUGUUGCAAACUCCUCUUCAUCUGAAUCCUCCUCUUCAUUUGAUUCCUCUUCGCCUUCAUCUUGUUGACCUCCAACACACAGCUUCUCCAGAACUUCUAGUUCUUUUGGAUCAAUUGUGCAAUUUAUGUGAGUCCAAUUGUGCAAUUUACUGUGAUUGAAGGUGUCAUUCACAUGUGUGUACAUGUGAGUUUCCACUUCCUCUCCUGUGAAACACCUUGGUGACCCUUCUAACACUAUUAUAUCAUUUCCAAAUGAAUUGGCUUGGAAUCUGAAUUCGUGAUCUGGAGGUAGAAAGUGCCUAUGACAAUCAAACCAGUAAGGGUUCCGCCCGUAUUGAAGAGUAAAUGCUUUGGAAUCACUCAUGCAUUCAGGGCAUGCUAGCUUGCCAUGGGUGCUCCACCCAGCGAACAUACCAAACGCAGGAAAGUCGUGGACUGAUCAUAGAAAGGUCGCUUUCAUUGGAAAGUUUACCUUGUGAUAAGCAUCCCAUGUUUCAACCCCGUCCCACAAUUGCAUCAGUUCAUCAGCUAAAGGUUGCAUUAUGACACUCAAUUUUUUCCAGGAUGUUCAGGAACAGGGACAACAAGGCUAAGGAAUAUAUACUCUGGUUUCAAGAGAAUACCGGGUGGAAGGUUUAAUGGAGCUACGAAAAUAGGCCAGCAAGUAUAUGGAGCAGCAUUCAACUUGUAUGAUGUAAAACCAUCACCAGCUAUGACAAGACGGACAUUUCUAUGAUCUUCUGCAAAUUCUAGGAACUCCUUGUCAAACCAUUGCCAAGCUUCACCAUCAAUAGGGUGGACCAUCUUAUCAGAAUUGGAACAACUAUGAGACUGCAUAUGUUUUGCUAUUUCCUCAUGUGCAUACAACCUCUGUAAUCUAUGUUUAAGAGGGAGAUAUCUCAACACUUUACGUGGGACUUUAUUCUGGCCUACCUCUUAGCGAGAUGUACCGCAGAUGUCACACUUCUCUUUAUGCUCAUUAUCUUUAUAGUACAACAUGCAGUUAUUUUUACAGACAUCAAUCAUGACAUAAGGCAUACCAAGGCCUUCUAAGAGUUUCUUAGAUUGGUAGAAGUCCUUGGAUAAGUUAGCACCCGGAGGCAUAAGUUCAUGGAUGAUUUGUAACACAUCAUCAUAUUCUACAAUUGACAUAUUAUACUGAGAUUUUAGUGCUAGCAAACGGGCUACUGCAGAAAGACGUGAGUGGGUUGUGUUCUCAUGGACACUAGUAGAAAACAGGGCUUUCGUUCGGGCCUGGCCAGCCCAUUAGUCCCGGUUCCGUUACGAACCGGGACCCAUGGGGGAAUUCAUCCCGGUUCGUGAGCCCAAGGGGCCGGCCGGGGCCUCGUGGGGAUUGAUCCCGGUUCGUAUGGACCCAUUUAUCCCGGUUCCAGGCAAGAACCGGGACCAAUGGUCCUCGCUCCUGGCUCACAGCCAUUGGUCCUGGUUCGUGGCUUGAACCGGGAUAUAAUGCUUGCCUUUAGUCCCGGUUUCUACCACGAACUGGGACAAAUGAGUAGCCUAUAUAUACCCCAUCGCCACAGCAGAGCACUCCAUAGUGCUCUGUUUAUUCUGGCCGGCGAGGGGAGGGCAUUUGGGUGCUCUAGCUCACCUCCUAUGCACAUGAGGUGUUCGAUGAAAUGUUCGAGCCACACUAGUUAAUCUUUCUCCUCUCGAAACUCGACCUCCGAGCUCCAUUUUCCCCGAGAUUUGUCUAGGUUUAGCGGUCCGUCACGUCCCGUCCCCGUCUUCACCGCCAUCGAUCGCCCGCGCUGAUCUCGUCACUGGCACCACCGUGGUGAGCCUCCUGUUCUUAUCUUCUUUCUGAAAGAAAAAAAUUCUUACUUCAGAUAGAUACUUGUCUAAUUUUCUUACUUUUAUUAUUCCUUGUUAUUAUAUAGUGCAAUGGUUUUUGUAUCCGCCCCCGUCGGCCCUUGUCCUGUCUAUGAUUCUGAUGUGGUAUAUAUAUUAUCUUUUGAUAACUAUUUGGUUCAUUUAUUGUUUAUGACAAUUAUGUCGACCAACAUGACAUAGAUUUUAUUUAUCUAGGAGGUGGUUGAACCGGAAAUUCCAACCGACCCUAUUGUCGAUAGGUUAAAUUUAGUUCAAGAAGAAAACAAUUACUUGAAGGAAAUAAUAAAAAAAAUUGAGGAGGAGAAGAUGAUAUUGGAGUUACAUGUUGCGGAUGUCGUCGAUGAUCACAAGAUCAAGAUGGAUGCAAUGCGGUUGAAGAUUAGAAAGAUUAGAAAAUAUGCCAUUCAUACCGAGGCUUGGUAUCAUUAUGCAGUUGGAUCAGUUGUUACCUUGGUUGCGAUUAUGAUCGCAUUUGUUGUUGCAUUGAAAUGUUUUACAUAAUUUCAACGUAUGGUUUAAUUAAAUGCUCUGGAGAGCUACAUGUUGUUCAAUGAGAACUAUGUAUGUACUUUGGUUUUAAUGUGAUGAUGAACUUCUAUUAAUUUGGUCACUUAUCUAUUCAUGAGAGGGUUGAAAAUUGAUGAUGUGGCUUUGAAUGGUGCAUUUUGAACACAGAAAAACUAUGGAGUUCAAAUAAGGUCAAAAAAAUGAAAUCCCUUUGUAACAGAAGAGUUUUCGUAUGAAACCCUGAUACUUCGAAAGAGAAUGUAUGUUUUGUACACGAAGUGCAUCCAGUUUUUGCCGUAACCCUCUCUACUUUCUUGUACAUGCUAUGUGGGUGAAAUGAUGAUACCAUGCCAACUUUCAACCUUUUCAGAGUUCAUUUCAGAUGCUUUUCAAUUUCAUGGUCUUAUAGCUCAAAAUAAUCAGUAAAUGCAUGAAAAAUAACAAAUGAAGUCAGAAAGGGUUGAAAAUUGAUGAUGUGGCUUUGAAUGGUGCAUUUUGAACACAGAAAAACUAUGGAGUUCAAAUAAGUUCAAAAAAAUGAAAUCCCUUUGUAACAGAUGAGUUUUCAUAUGAAACCCUGAUACUUCAAAAGAGAUUGUCCGUUUUGUACACGAAGUGCAUCCAGUUUUUGCCGUAACCCUCUCUACUUUCUUGCACAUGCUAUGUGGGUGAAAUGGUGAUACCAUNNNNNNNNNNNNNNNNNNNNNNNNNNNNNNNNNNNNNNNNNNNNAUUGUCCGUUUUGUACACGAAGUGCAUCCAGUUUUUGCCGUAACCCUCUCUACUUUCUUGGACAUGCUAUGCGGGUGAAAUGAUGAUACCGUGCCAACUUUCAACCUUUUCAGAGUUCAUUUCAAAUGAUUUUCAAUUUCAUGGUCUCAUAGCUCAAAAUAAUCAGUAAAUGCAUGAAAAAUAACAAAUGAAGUCAGAAAGGGUUGAAAAUUGAUGAUGUGGCUUUGAAUGGUGCAUUUUGAACAUAGGAAAACUAUAGAGUUCAAAUAAGUUGAAAAAAUGAAAUCCCUUCGUAACAGAUGAGUUUCCGUAUGAAACCCUGAUACUUCAAAAGAGAUUGUCUGUUUUGUCCAUGAAGUGCAUCCAGUUUUUCCCGUAACCCUUUCUACUUUCUUGCACCUGCUAUGUGNNNNNNNNNNNNNNNNNNNNNNNNNNNNNNNNNNNNNNNNNNNNNUUUUGAACAUAGGAAAACUAUGGAGUUCAAAUAAGUUCAAAAAAAUGAACUCCCUUUGUAACAGACGAGUUUCGUAUGAAACCCGGAUAUUUCGAAAGAGAUUGUCCGUUUUGUACACGAAGUGCAUCCAGUUUUUGCCGUAACCCUCUCUACUUUCUUGCACAUGCUAUGUGGGUGAAAUGAUGAUACCAUGGCAACUUUCAACCUUUUGAGAGUUCAUUUCAAAUCAUUUUCAAUUUCAUAGUCUUAUAGCUCAAAAUAAUCAAUAAAUGCAUGAAAAAUAACAAAUGAAGUCACAAAGGGUUGAAAAUUGAUGAUGUGGCUUUGAAUAUAUGGUGCAUUUUGAACACAGAAAAACUAUGGAGUUCAAAUAAGUUCAAAAAAAUGAAAUCCCUUUGUAACAGACGAGUUUCCAUAUGAAACCCUGAUAACAAAAAUGAAAUCCCUUUGUAACAGUCGAGUUUCCGUAUGAAAUCCCUUUGUUUCAGAGUUCAUAAAUAACUUUUUUGUUACAAACUUUAAUAGCAAAAAGAAUUAUCUUAAAAUAAUAUAAAUAAGUAAUUUGAAACAAAAUAAUAUAAACUUUAAUAAAAUAUAUAAGUAGAAACAAAAUAAAAUAAAAUAAAAUAAACUUUAAUAACAUAAAUAAAAUAUAUGAAACUAAAAUUAUCAAAGUAUUUUCUGUUCAAAAUCAUUAAAAGCAAAAAGAAUUUUCAUAAAAAAAAUUUGGUUAGAAACUUUAAUAGAAAAAAGAAUUAUCAUAAAAUAAAAUAAUUAAUUAAUUAUAAACAAAAUAAAAUAAAAUAAAUAAGUAUUGUGUUGUAAGUAGAAACAAAACAAAAUAAAUAAAGCAAAAAAGAAAACAAAAAAACUGGGCAAAAAUAAAAAAAUUGCCACCUACUGGGCCAGCACGGCCUGAAUACGACGAGAAACCCAUCCAUGGGCCAGGAUUCAGGCCCGCAGAAGGCCCAUUAGGCCCAUAGGCAUAUCCGUGUCAGUUUAGGCCCAUAGGCCUGCAGUUCAGAGGAGUUCGAGAGGGAAGAGGCAACGGGGCUUAUAAACAGGUGCCGGGCGCUUCCAACUAGCGAGGUGGGACUAAACUCCCACCACCAACCCGCUGUGCAAGGCCACUGGUCCCAGUUGGUGCCACCAACCGGGACUAAAGGGUGGCUUUGGUCCCGGUUGGUGGCACCAACCAAUACCAAUGCUGUCACGACCGGUUUUCCAAUAAAAAUAUUUAUUGAGAAACCAAUCUUUUGAGUCCAGUAUGAGAGAAAUCCUCCUCACUGGUAGACAAAUUCUUGAUACAAUAAGCCAGUAGCAUAAAAUAUAUUACAGGGUCGAACUACGGUUGCUCAACCAAAUUAUUACAAGCACGCCAAUAAUUAUACAUAAUGGCGGACAUGACACAGUGGUGUGGAGGCAUACUACUGACUCGAGGAUAGGGCGGUGGUGGAAAAACACAGUGGGGAGAGAGAUACAAGUCUCUAAAACUGUCAUCUCAUCGAGCGUCGAGGUGAGGCUCGAUGAAUUUAUUUGGUAGCGGAAGCGGAUAUAAUACAGUGACCAAAUCCAGGGUCGUACGAGACUGACUCGGACUCCUCUAGGCGUCGGACUCGCUAUCAAAUUCUUCAUCCAUGAGAUCGCCUUCGUCAGCAUCUCGCCAAAUCAACAAGCCAGUGAGUACUUUGAAAGUACUCGCAAGACAGUUCGGACGUAAGAUAUAACAAAUGCAUGCAUGAAUGCGUCAUGAUUAAUUCACCAAUGUACAUUCAAAAAUUAGCAUAACGAGGUAAGUAAAAGGGGAACGGCGGUAGUCCGCCUGAAGUCCCACAAAACAUAAAUGAAGACCGAUCGGGUGUCUGAAGCGACGCCUCGAAAGGUGAACAAAUAAAUAUAAGGAAAUGAUGCCACAGUCGGGCGUCUUAGCGACACCACAUAAAGGGCUUUAAAAGAAAUGCCACAGUCGGACGUCGGGGCGACAUCACAGAAAGGGCUUUAAAAGAAAAUACCACAGUCGGGCGUCUUAGCGACACCACACAAAGGGCUUUAAGAGAAAUGCCACAGUCGGACGUCGGGGCGACAUCACAGAAAGGGCUUAAAAAGAAAUACCACAGUCGGGCGUUUUAGCGACACCACAUAAAGGGCUUUAAGAGAAAUGCCACAGUCGGACGUCGGGGCGACAUCACAGAAAGGGCUUUAAAAGAAAUGCCACAGUCGGGCGUCUUAGCGACACCACAUAAAGGGCUUGAAAAGAAAGUAAAAUACAACAAUGCCACAGUCGGAUGUCUGAGCGACAUCGCAGAAAGGGCUUUUAUUCACAAGUAAAUAAUACUCAUAAUAAACAUUCAAUUCAUGAGAAUAAAUGGGUUAGUCCAUUCACAGGAAUAAUCAUUUAACCGGACUUAGCACUCAUGCGAUUCACCGGAGUCUCUGUCAUCAAAACUGACAUUUGAUCAGGAUAAGAUAAUAUCGAUCUUGGACAUGGAAUAGAUGAUUUGGAGGAAUAUAUGACUCUGCAGAGUUUGUACAAAAUUUUUCCCAUAGCCAACGGAUUUCCGUAGUCCCGAAGGACUAGUUCCGUUUACGGUUUUUUGGGAGAAAACACAGCUAACCAGUACACACCCAUUCUACCUCUCGAUGCUAGGAAUCACCCUAGACAUCGUCCAAGAAAAACUUUUGAGACGGGGAGAUCACAAUCUCGAAUAGCAUGGGAUCAAGUUUAUAUACGCGCGCUCUAAGGGGUGCCCCCCUCUCGGUCCCAACCGGAAACACCCAUGCCCCCUAACCGGAUGACUGGCUUUAAUCCAGGGCCAUGGAACCAUCAUCACGGCCUCUCCUUUUUGGUGUGUACCAGGAAAGCGGUUUACAACUUACUAAGCCAUAUUCCUUGCGGAAAACAUGUGGUAGUACAAGGAAGGAAGAAUGGAAGGAACUGGAAUGAUACGAGUUGACAUUUAAGUCACAUAGUCUGGCAUAAGCCUGGCAUGCUACAACACUGCCAUCUUACCCAUCCUCAUGCCAACACAUGGCCAUGCAUACUCACAUCCAUCCACUCAUGGAUUUUCGGAACUCACUUGCCUCAUCGUCUCAGGUAACAGGACAUUCAUCGGUAUGUUCAUCAACAUGCCAUAAACUACUUAAUGCAAACAUGCCAAAACAAUCAUCAUAUCAAAAGUUCAAACAUGCUUGCCUGGUUUGGAGUAGUCGGAGCCUAGCUCGGUGAAGUUCGCGGCUCCGUCACCUCCUUCGGUAUCUACGGUAUAAAGAAAAUAUAUGCGCUAUCGUAAAUGCCAAGAGGUGCACAAAAAGUUUUCCAAAUAUUUUUCAAAUAAAUCUGAAUAAAGAACUAGACAAAAUUUUAAAGAGGACAGAAAAAGAAUCAAUAAAAAAUACUUUUUUGUUUAAAAGUUAUAAGGGUUUUAACCCAGGGACUCAUCUGUAAUGAAACAGAAAGUUCCCAGGGGCUAGCUUACAAAAAUAGAAAACGACUCGAAUAAGAAUGUGCCGGCCCAGCGGGAAGACGUAUUUGGCAGAAGACGUUUUUAGAAAACGCUUCGCUUAGACAGGACAGAGAGGCUGACAGGCGGGUCCCGCCCGUCAGGUUUGAAUAUUUAAACGGGGCGACAGAGUUCGCCGGUGCCCGAGAGCCGCGGUGGUCGCCGGCGGCGAUCCACGGCGAGGCAGGGGGAUCGGAGGGUACCUCCGUGUUCAGGGCACCUUUCCGCGUCGGUUGGUGGUGGUGGUGGUCGCCGGCGAGUACCAUGUCGGCGGCGAGCCCUGCUCCGGCGGACGGCGGCUCGGGUGGUCGAGGGACUCGUCGAAGAGAGCUGCGAAGGACAAAUCGAUGCUGGCGUUAGCUUACUGGGUGCUAGAGGAGGCUAUAGACAAGAUUUGGGUGCCGGGGACGGCCUCACCGGAGCGAAUCGAGGUGGAGGCCGAGGCGGGUCGGGGCGGCCGGAGUUGGGGGAGGAGACCUCCUCGAGGUCCUCCUAGUGGCCUUGCGGGGCUUUGGUGAGGUGUAGAGGUGGUGCGUGCUCGAGGGUGAGCUCGGGGGCCCUUUUUAUAGGCGGUCCGAGGCGGUGGCCGUGAACGGGGAUCUCCGGUGAAGGUUACGGUGGCGCAGGGCUUGGUCGGGGGUGAUUAGGGAGUUGGGCGUCGUCGUUGAGGUCCACCGGUUCCAUUUAGGUGCUAAUCGGGCUGGGAUUUGGUGCUAUGGGCGAGUUCGACAGAACGGGGCGACGUGGGCCCGUCGGCGGCAGUGAGCACGUUCCGUGCUUGCCGGGCCACGUUGAUGGUGCCACGGGCGUGCGCUGGCAUGCAUGAGGCCACGCGGAGAGCAGAGGGGCGUUGGGCUGCGCCGAAUGGUGUUGAGCCGCCGUUCCGUCCCCAGUCGGCUGCUACGGGGGUUCGGCCGCCGCAAGACACACCGGCGCGGGCGGCCAAGGGCGCCACCUACGCCGGGAAGACGCCAAGCGCGCGUGCGGGGGUGCUGGCCAGGGAGAAGAAGCCGCGUGCAACGCGCCAAGCGCACUGUCUACGCGUGAUUGAAACUGACGGACGAAAAUGACACUGAAAACUGAUUUUUUCUGAAUAUGAACAGCAACAGUGCAUGCCAAGUGUUCGACAGAAUGAUCUAGGCAUCUAGGGAUUUUUCCUUGAGCUGAUUUUUGGUGGAGUGGCUUCUCAUUGCUCCAGUAGGCUGCCUGAUUUUUGGUGAAUUUUUUGGAGAAGUGUAGGUAUGAAUUUCACCAAAUUUGGCAAAUCUGGUCCAAACUUGCAGAGACUGAAUUUUGAAAAAUUUGAAAAGAGAAGGAGUGGAUCAAGAUGGUUCUGGGUUGUGGGUACAAAGGACUUUCCAGGAGAGUUGGUUUGAGGUCAAAACUCAAAUGCAAAAGGGUACUUGCUUUGAAAAACUCUCAGGCUCCAAAUAAUUUUCAGAAAUGAUUUGAGUGAAAAGAAAAUUAGAAUAAAAUCCAAAACUUGCUUGGAUUAGUUGGGACAGAGAACUUAGGUUGAUUACAAGGAGGAGGGGAGGUUUUGGAGGGGUUUUACCACAUGGGCAAAAAUGCAAAGUCAUGGGUGGUUUCCAAGAUAUGAAAAUCCCAAAUUCAUAGAGUUUCUUUUUAAAAGAAAAAAAAUUAAACUCCCAAAAUAAAUUUGAGAGGGAACCAACAGAGAAGAAGUUUCAAAAGAUCAAACACCAUAGCUUGAAUAAAAAUAAAAACCUUGCCAAAAAAAGGAAGUUUUUAAGAGGAAGGUUUUCUGGAAAAAAUUUAAAUGGCCUCUUUUCAAAAACCACAAAGUUUUGCUGAAAACCAAAAUAAAAAUUUUGGAGUGUCACAACACCUACCCCCUUAGGAAAAAUCUCGUCCCCGAGAUUUCAAUUGUUCCUCAAAUAAGUGUGGAUGCUCUGUCCGAAGAAAAUCCUCUCUUUCCCAACUUGCUUCGCUUUCGGUGUGGUUGCUCCACUGAACUCUGAAAAUCUUGAUGGUCUUCUGUCGGGUCCUCCUUUCAGACUCCUCUAAUAUUUUUACUGGGUGUUCCCGAUAAGUGAGGUCUGGCUGUACGUCAAUGUUCUCAUGGGAUACUUGCUUCUCUGGUUUGCUUACGCACUUCCUUAAUUGAGAGACGUGGAACACGUCGUGAAUGUCGGACAAGUCUUCGGGUAAGUCUAGCUGGUAGGCUACAGUGCCUCAUCGUGCCACUAUGCAGAAUGGUCCAAUGAAUCUUGGUGCUAACUUUCCUUUAAUCUUAAACCGUUGCAGUCCCCUCAUAGGUGAUACUCGUAGGUACACAAAUUCACCGGGUUCAAAAUUGACCCCACGAUGUUUCUGAUCGUAAUAACUCUUCCGUCGGCUUUGAGCGGUCUUGAGUCAGUCCCUGAUUAGCUUGACUUUUUCCUCGGCUUCUUUGAGAACGUCUGGGCCGAAGAUACGGCCGUCUCCGGUCUCUGACCAAUUUAGCGGGGUACGACAUCUCCGUCCGUAUAGGGCUUCAAAAGGUGCCAUUUGCAGGCUGGCCUGGUAACUGUUGUUGUAUGCGAACUCGGCAUAUGGAAGGCUUUCUUCCCAACUGGUUCCAUAGGUGAGGACACAUGCUCUCAGCAUGUCUUCUAAAAUUUGGUUUACGCGUUCAGUCUGUCCAUUAGUCUGGGGAUGAUAGGCUGUGCUGAAGACCAAUUGAGUUCCCAGAGCCUGUUGUAAAUGAUCCCAAAAUCUCGAGACAAAUUGAGUGCCUCUGUCGGAUAUUAUAGUCUUCGAGACUCCAUGCAGACAAACUAUACGGGAGAGAUAAAUCCUGGCAAGCUUCUGAGUGUUGUAGGUUGUCUUUACUGGAAUGAAAUAUGCCACCUUGGUUAAUCUAUCGGUGAUGACCCAUAUGGCAUCAUUCCCGUGUCGUGACCGAGGUAGUCCGACAAUAAAAUCCAUCCCUAUUUCAUCCCAUUUCCACUCAGGUAUUUUGUUUGGUUGCAGUAGUCCGGCUGGUUUUUGAUGCUCAACUUUUAUGCGUUGACAAGAAUCGCAACAUGCAACGAAUGUGGCUAUGUCCCUCUUCAUACCGUGCCACCAAAAUCUUUCCUGAAUAUCCUUAUACAUUUUGGUUCCUCCAGGGUGGAUUGAAUAUGGAGUGGUGUGUGCUUCAGCUAGGAUUUGCUGUCUGAGGUCCUCUAUGUUUGGCACGCAGAGUCCGUCCCCGUACCAUAAUAUUCCAUCAUCGCCUAUGACAAAUUCCGAGGCCUUGCCCAUACUCACCUUUCUUUUAAUUCCUUCAAUGCUGGGGUGACCAGGCUGAGCUUCUUUAAUUCUCUCCACAAGGUCGGGCUUUAUUUCCAAGUUUGAUAUGGUGCCUCCCGUGAUCAUUAACAAGUUGAGUUUGGCAAAUUCUUGUUGGAAUUCGGGUCUCAAACUUUGCAGACUGUUUUCGUCGGAGCUGGGGUUUCGACUAAGAGCAUCGACCACUACAUUUGCUUUCCCUGGAUGAUAGUGGAUACCAACAUCAUAAUCCUUUACCAAUUCCAACCAGCGUCGUUGACGUAAGUUUAGUUCUGGCUGUGUGAAAAUAUAUUUGAGACUUUUAUGGUCCAUGUAUAUUUCACAUCGAUUCCCAAGUAAGAAAUGCCUCCAUUCCUUAAGUGCAUGAAUGACUGCUGCCAUUUCUAAAUCAUGAGUGGGAUAAUUUUCCUCAUGCUUGCGGAGUUGUCGUGAAGCGUAUGCGACAACCUUGCCUUCUUGCAUCAACACGCACCCGAGACCUUUUCGGGAUGCGUCACAAUACACCUCAAAGUUUUUGUGUAUGUCUGGCACAAUUAAUACCGGUGCUGUGGUUAAUUUCUGUUUUAACUCUUGGAAACUUUUUUCGCAGGCUUCUGUCCAUUCAAAUUUCUUGUCCUUCUUGAGUAACUGCGUCAUUGGCUUGGCUAGAGUGGAGAAUCCUUCAAUAAAUCUGCGGUAGUAUCCUGCCACUCCCAAGAAACUUCGUAUGUCCGUUAUGCUGGCUGGUGCCUUCCAGUCAAGUAUGGCCCUAAUUUUCUUCGGGUCCACUGCGAUACCGUCUUGGGUCAGCACGUGACCUAGAAAGCCUACUUGUCUUAGCCAAAAUUCGCACUUGCUGAACUUGGCAUACAAUUGAUGUUUCCUGAGUUCUCCUAGCACAAUCCCGAGAUGUUCCGCGUGCUCUUCUGGUGUUUUGGAGUAUAUCAGAAUAUCAUCGAUAAAUACCACAACGAACUUGUCCAUAAACUUCAUAAAUACUUUGUUCAUGAGGUGAACAAAAUAUGCGGGGGCGUUUGUUAAUCCAAAAGGCAUAACUGUGAACUCAUAUAGUCCAUAUCUGGAGGUGAAGGCUGUUUUGGGGAUAUCUUCUGUUCGCACUUUUAAUUGAUGGUAUCCUGACCUUAAGUCAAUCUUUGAGAAUACCUUGGCCUGAGCGAGCUGAUCAAAUAAAUCAUUUAUUCGUGGCAUCGGGUAUUUGUUCUUGACUGUGACCAUGUUAAGUGCUCGGUAGUCUAUGCACAACCUUAGUGUUCCAUCCUUCUUUUUGGCAAAUAGAAUUGGUGAUCCCCAAGGUGAGGAGCUGGCUCGAAUGUAUCCCUUGUCCAGUAAUUCCUUUAUUUGUUUCUUCAACUCGAUCAACUCGGAUGGUGCCAUUCUGUAUGGUUUCUUGUAUAUGGGGGUGGUUCCUGGUGCUAGCUCAAUGCUGAACUCUAUUUCCCGGUCUGGUGGCAUGCCUGGUAGUUCUUCGGGAAAUACGUCUGGAAAUUCACAUACUACUGGAACCUUGCUUAACUCAGAAACGUCCACCUUAUUCAAUCUCGGCUGCCGGGGUAUUUUUCUUUCCUUGGCUGAUACUUUUAUUGUCUUCCCGUGGUGGUGCGUGAGAAUUACGGUCCGGUUGAAACAAUCAAUAAAACCUUUGUUGGUGGUUAACCAGUCCAUCCCUAGGAUGACAUCCAGUCCUUUAUUUUCCAACACAAUAAGAUUGGCGAAAAAUUUCAAUCCUUCGAACUCAAUGACCAUAUUCUGACAGUAACUCUGAGUAACUUGCUGAAUCCCAGGGGACUUGAUGAUCAUGGAUUUUUCCAAGGGAAACAUCGAAAAAUUAUUUUGCAAAGCAAAACUUUUCGAAAUGAAUGAGUGAGAAGCUCCAGAAUCAAACAAAACUGUUGCAGGUAUUGUGUUGACAGGAAACGUACCGAGUAUGAUAUCCGGAGCAUUUUGUGCUUCUUCUUUGGUCACGUGGUUUAGAUGACCCUUCCUGUGGUUGUUGUUGGGGUUGAAAUUGUUGCGCUUGGGCGCUGAAUUAUUUCCACCAUUGUUUGGCUUCGGGGUCGAGUUCCUUGGCUUGGGGCACUGUUUGGCGUAGUGCCCUUCUUCUCCACAAGCGUAGCAAGUAACGCCUGGGCGAUAUGUGAACUCUUUGUCCCUUGCAUGGAAAUUCUUGGUUGGGCGAGAGAUGUUUGUAGGUUUGUGUGUCCCACCUUUCUGAAAAUCUGUCCUGCUUCGGUGGUUGCGUGCAAGAGUAGUCUGGUCUCUUUUUCGCUUACGUAGAUCCUCCAAGCUACGUCUCUCAUUUUCCAGAGUAAUAGCUUUGUCCACUAGUGUCUUAAAAUCCGGAAAAGUGUGAACGACCAGUUGGCAUUUAAGCGCGGGCGCCAGACCAUCAAGGAAUUUCUCCAUCUUCUUGCUUUCAGUCAUACGUUCUUCAUUGGCGUAGCGGGACAAUAGAGUAAAUUGACCGUUGUAUUCUGACACUGUCAUGUUCCUUUGUUUUAGGUCAUCGAACUCUCUCUUCUUAAUUUUCAUAAUACUCUUGGAAAUGUGUGCACCACGGAAACCUUCCUUGAAAUCAUCCCAGGUUAUAUCAUUUUCGUUGGGGUGCAUGUGCAGAAAAUUCUCCCACCAUGAUGUAGCUGCUCCUGUGAGAUAGUGCGGAGCAUAUAGUACUUUCUCGAGAUCUGAACAUUUUGCAAUAAUUAAUUUUCUCUCCGUAUCUCGAAGCCAAUCCUCGGCUUCAAGAGGCUUGUCAGUAUGAGAAAAUGUUUGGGGACGUGUCUUCUGUAGCUCAGAUAACUUGGAAUGCUGCUGAUACUGUCCAUGGUGAUUUCCCAUGUUGAUGACUUGGUUCAUCAUUUCCCGAUGUUGUUGCUGACUCUGCUCAUAAAGGCGGCACAUUUGUGAAAGUGCCGAUUCACUGCCCUGUUGGCUUGACUGUCCCUGAGUGAACUCAUUGCUGGGUUGUGUAUCAUAAUUUUCCUCUGGUGGAGUUGGCAUGGAGCGAGUCCAAGGACGAGACAUUUUUCACUCUGGGGAUAUAUUUGUAAAACCCAUAAGAAAAGCGGAAAGAGUCGCAAAAACAAAUCCGUAAAUGCAUAAAGCUAGCAAAUAAAAUUAAAUAACCAAGCUUACUUAAGAAAAACAAAUCGACUUGCGCACGGAGAAGGACUGCUCAUUACAUAUCUUACACGCGGGUGGUAAUUAUACAAUACAUCACUCAGGAUAUGCGUACAUAAUCCUGACAUGUUAUUUAGGCUAGUGCACUUCUCCAGAUCCUACAUGAUGCGCAAACAGGCUACUUCUCACAACCUAUGUACAUAUAAACAUAUCAUACAAGGCGGUACAUUACAUGGCGGCUAAGCGUACUCAGGCGGAGAUGUUGACGACCUCCUUCAUCCUGCCGAGGGUGAGGCGUAGCAAGGCUGGGGACCCGACUUCUUCCUCGCUAAUAGGCUCCAUACGUGUAGUGUUGCGCAGAGUGGACGGAGCGGGUGCCAGGGGCGGAACAACACGAACAGGAGUGGGCGCGAAGGGUGGUGCAGUGCGCGCUGGAGUGGGCGCAAUGACUUGGUUGAAUUCUUCGGUAGAAGGUAGGCGACGAGUAGGCGUAUAAGAUGCUGAGGACGAGACAAAAGUCAGUGGCGGUGCGGUGGGUAGGAGCUCCCUCCUGUUGGCAGCACAGCCAUGAACUGAGUCCAUGCAGGCAGCCACGAAGUCGUCCACCAGGUUGUCGAAGGCUGCCUCCAGGGCCCGGAGAUACUCAAUGAGCAUCUCAAAAGCCUCGUCUCGUUCUCCUCUGGGGCAGGAGAAUGCGUAGUGACAGGUGUAAGGCACAUGGCAUGGAAGAUAACGGUAACGACGAGUCUUCAUCAUGGGGAGGACAUCCCUGAGACGAGCUAUCGCCUCGCGGGCUGCCAUCUGCAUAGCAUGCCUCUCCGUAGGCAUGUCUCUUCCCAAGAACCGGAAGCGGCGUAACUCACCACGCCCUCCCUUGAACUGCACCGCGGCCUGGUGCAUGGUCAGACUGUCGUUGACUCGGUGCUGGCAGAGUGUGAAGACUGGGCGCACAGAUGGCCCCAUCGCGACCUGAACGAUGAAGGAAAGAAGCUUGACGAACCCAUCGGGUACGUUGGCGAAGGUCUGAGACUCGCAGCUGUUGUCGGUCAUCUACAAACGUAGGCAAAAAUUCUGCAUGGUCAGAUCAUAAAUUUAUGCUGACUGACAGAAAAUGACUACAAUCAAGAAAAUAUGGAAAGGCUCAAUCAUGCUAAUAACCAAUUAGCGAUCGCACCUAGUGGCUUCCUACAGUCAGCCUGGCUCUGGUACCAAGCUUGUCACGACCGGUUUUCCAAUAAAAAUAUUUAUUGAGAAACCAAUCUUUUGAGUCCAGUAUGAGAGAAAUCCUCCUCACUGGUAGACAAAUUCUUGAUACAAUAAGCCAGUAGCAUAAAAUAUAUUACAGGGUCGAACGACGGUUGCUCAACCAAAUUAUUACAAGCACGCCAAUAAUUAUACAUAAUGGCGGACAUGACACAGUGGUGUGGAGGCAUACUACUGACUCGAGGAUAGGGCGGUGGUGGAAAAACACAGUGGGGAGAGAGAUACAAGUCUCUAAAACUGUCAUCUCAUCGAGCGUCGAGGUGAGGCUCGAUGAAUUUAUUUGGUAGCGGAAGCGGAUAUAAUACAGUGACCAAAUCCAGGGUUGUACGAGACUAACUGGGACUCCUCUAGGCGUCGGACUCGCUAUCAAAUUCUUCAUCCAUGAGAUCGCCUUUGUCAGCAUCUGGCCAAAUCAACAAGCCAGUGAGUACUUUGAAAGUACUCGCAAGACAGUUCGGACGUAAGAUAUAACAAAUGCAUGCAUGAAUGUGUCAUGAUUAAUUCACCAAUGUACAUUCAAAAAUUAGCAUAACAAGGUAAGUAAAAGGGAAACGGCGGUAGUCCGCCUGAAAUCCCACAAAACAUAAAUGAAGACCGAUCGGGUGUCUGAAGCGAUGCCUUGAAAGGUGAACAAAUAAAUAUAAGGAAAUGAUGCCACAGUCGGGCGUCUUAGCGACACCACAUAAAGGGCUUUAAAAGAAAUGCCACUGUCGGACGUCGGGGCGACAUCACAGAAAGGGCUUUAAAAGAAAAUACCACAGUCGGGCGUCUUAGCGACACCACAUAAAGGGCUUUAAGAGAAAUGUCACAGUNNNNNNNNNNNNNNNNNNNNNNNNNNNNNNNNNNNNNNNNNNNNNNNNNNNNNNNNNNNNNNNNNNNNNNNNNNNNNNNNNNNNNNNNNNNNNNNNNNNNNNNNNNNNNNNNNNNNNNNNNNNNNNNNNNNNNNNNNNNNNNNNNNNNNNNNNNNNNNNNNNNNNNNNNNNNNNNNNNNNNNNNNNNNNNNNNNNNNNNNNNNNNNNNNNNNNNNNNNNNNNNNNNNNNNNNNNNGUCGGGGCGACAUCACAGAAAGGGCUUAAAAAGAAAUACCACAGUCGGGCGUCUUAGCGACACCACAUAAAGGGCUUUAAGAGAAAUGCCACAGUCGGACGUCGGGGCGACGUCACAGAAAGGGCUUUAAAAUAAAUGCCACAGUCGGGCGUCUUAGCGACACCACAUAAAGGGCUUGAAAAGAAAGUAAAAUACAACAAUGCAACAGUCGGACGUCUGAGCGACAUCGCAUAAAGGGCUUUUAUUCACAAGUAAAUAAUACUCAUAAUAAACAUUCAAUUCAUGAGAAUAAAUGGGUUAGUCCAUUCACAGGAAUAAUCAUUUAACCGGACUUAGCACUCAUGCGAUUCACCAGAGUCACUGUCAUCAAAACUGACAUUUGAUCAGGAUAAGAUAAUAUCGAUCUUGGACAUGGAAUAGAUGAUUUGGAGGAAUAUAUGACUCUGCAGAGUUUGUACAAAAAUUUUCCCACAGCCAACGGAUUUCCGUAGUCCCGAAGGACUAGUUCCGCUUACGGUUUUUCGGGAGAAAACACAGCUAACCAGUACACACCCAUUCUACCUCUCGAUGCUAGGAAUCACCCUAGACAUCGUCCAAGAAAAACUUUUGAGACGGGGAGAUCACAAUCUCGAAUAGCAUGGGAUCAAAUUUAUACACGCGCGCUCUAAGGGGUGCCCCCCUCUCGGUCCCAACCGGAAACACCCAUGCCCCCUGACCGGAUGACUGGCUUUAAUCCAGGGCCAUGGAACCAUCAUCACGGCCUCUCCUUUCUGGUGUGUACCAGGAAAGCGGUUUACAACUUACUAAGCCAUAUUCCUUGCGGAAAACAUGUGGUAGUACAAGGAAGGAAGAAUGGAAGGAACUGGAAUGAUACGAGUUGACAUUUAAGUCACAUAGUCUGGCAUAAGCCUGGCAUGCUACAACACUGCCAUCUUACCCAUCCUCAUGCCAACACAUGGCCAUGCAUACUCACAUCCAUCCACUCAUGGAUUUUCGGAACUCACUUGCCUCAUCGUCUCAGGUAACAGGACAUUCAUCGGUAUGUUCAUCAACAUGCCAUAAACUACUUAAUGCAAACAUGCCAAAACAAUCAUCAUAUCAAAAGUUCAAACAUGCUUGCCUGGUUUGGAGUAGUCGGAGCCUAGCUCGGUGAAGUUCGCGGCUCCGUCACCUCCUUCGGUAUCUACGGUAUAAAGAAAAUAUAUGCGCUAUCGUAAAUGCCAAGAGGUGCACAAACAGUAUUCCAAAUUUUUUUCAAAGAAAUCUGAUAAAAAACUAGACAAAAUUUUAAAGAGGACAGAAAAAGAAUCAAUCAAAAAUACUUUUCUGUUUAAAAGUUAUAAGGGUUUUAAUCCAGGGACUCAUCUGUAAUGAAACAGAAAGUUCCCAGGGGCUAGCUUACAAAAACAGAAAAUGACUCGAAUAAGAAUGCGCCGGCCCAGCGGGAAGACGUAUUUGGCAGAAGACGUUUUCAGAAAACGCUUCGCUUAGACAGGACAGAGAGGCUGACAGGCGGGUCCCGCCCGUCAGGUUUGAAUAUUUAAACGGGGCGGCAGAGUUCGCCGGUGCCCGAGAGCCGCGGUGGUCGCCGGCGGCGAUCCACGGUGAGGCAGGGGGAUCGGAGGGUACCUCCGUGUUCAGGGCACCUUCCCGCGUCGGUUGGUGGUGGUGGUGGUCGCCAACGAGUACCACGUCGGCGGCGAGCCCUGCUCCGGCGGACGGCGGUUCGGGUGGUCGAGGGACUCGUCGGAGAGAGCUGCGAAGGACAAAUCGAUGUUGGCGUUAGCUUACUGGGUGCUAGAGGAGGCUAUAGACAAGAUUUGGGCGCCGGGGACGGCCUCACCGGAGCGAAUCGAGGUGGAGGCCGAGGCGGGUUGGGGCGGCCGGAGUUGGGGGAGGAGACCUCCUCGAGGUCCUCCUAGUGGCCUGGCGGGGCUUUGGUGAGGUGUAGAGGUGGUGCGUGCUCGAGGGUGAGCUCGGGGGACCUUUUUAUAGGCGGUCCGAGGCGGUGGCCGUGAACGGGGAUCUCCGGUGAAGGUUACGGCGGCGCAGGGCUUGGUCGGGGGUGAUUAGGGAGUUGGGCAUCGUCGUUGAGGUCCACCGGUUCCAUUUAGGUGCUAAUCGGGCUGGGAUUUGGUGCUAUGGGCGAGUUCGACAGAACGGGGCGGCGCGGGCCCGUCGGCGGCAGUGAGCAUGUUCCGUGCUUGCCGGGCCACGGCGACGGUGCCACGGGCGUGCGCUGGCAUGCAUGAGGCCACGCGGAGAGCAGAGGGGCGUUGGGCGGCGCCGAACGGCGUUGAGCCGCCAUUCCGUCCCCUGUCGGCUGCUACGGGGGUUCGGCCGCCGCAAGACACGCCGGCGCGAGCGGCCAAGGGUGCCACCGACGCCGGGAAGACGCCAAGCGCGCGUGCGGGGGUGCUGGCCAGGGAGAAGAAGCCGCGUGCAACGCGCCAAGCGCACUGUCUACGCGUGAUUGAAACUGACGGACGAAAACGACACUGAAAACUGAAUUUUUCUGAAUAUGAACAGCAACAGUGCACGCCAAGUGUUCGACAGAAUGAUCUAGGCAUCUAGGGAUUUUUCCUUGAGCUGAUUUUUGGUGGAGUGGCUUCUCAUUGCUCCAGUAGGCUGCCUGAUUUUUGGUGAAUUUUUGGAGAAGUGUAGGUAUGAAUUUCACCAAAUUUGGCAAAUCUGGUCCAAACUUGCAGAGACUGAAUUUUGAAAAAUUUGAAAAGAGAAGGAGUGGAUCAAGAUGGUUCUGGGUUGUGGGUACAAAGGACUUUCCAGGAGAGUUGGUUUGAGGUCAAAACUCAAAUGCAAAAGGGUACUUGCUUUGAAAAACUCUUAGGCUCCAAAUAAUUUUCAGAAAUGAUUUGAGUGAAAAGAAAAUUAGAAUAAAAUCCAAAACUUGCUUGGAUUAGUUGGGACAGAGAACUUAGGUUGAUUACAAGGAGGAGGGGAGGUUUUGGAGGGGUUUUACCACAUGGGAAAAAUGCAAAGUCAUGGGUGGUUUCCAAGAUAUGAAAAUCCCAAAUUUUCAUAGAGUUUCUUUUUAAAAGAAAAAAAAUUAAACUCCCAAAAUAAAUUUGAGAGGGAACCAACAGAGAAGAAGUUUCAAAAGAUCAAACACCAUAGCUUGAAUAAAAAUAAAAACCUUGCCAAAAAAAGGAAGUUUUUAAGAGGAAGGUUUUCUGGAAAAAUUUUAAAUGGCCUCUUUUCAAAAACCACAAAGUUUUGCUGAAAACCAAAAUAAAAAUUUUGGAGUGUCACAAAUGCCCCCCUUUAGUCCCGGUUGGUGCCACCAACCGGAAGCAAAAGGCCUCUGCUUCCCGCCCUUUGGGCUGCUGAAAAGUGAUCUUUGGUCCUGGUUGAUGGCACCAACCGGGACUAAAGGGGGCAUUGGUCCCGGUUGGUGCCACGAACCGGGACCAAUGCUCCUGGUAUAUAAAUAGCACUUAGCAAUUUUGCAGAGUUCAUCACCACGGUUGCCCCCGACGACGCCAAGCACAUCGUCGCCGCCAGGCUGCCCCAACACCACCCGUCGCCGUCGCCCACGCCCAUCGUCCUCGUCGCCCGCACCCUCGCCCGACGCCGUCGCCGCGCGCCGUCCCUGCCCCGACGAGCGCUGCCCCUGCCCCGCCGCGUGCCGCUCCUGCCCCGACGUCNNNNNNNNNNNNNNNNNNNNNNNNNNNNNNNNNNNNNNNNNNNNNNNNNNNNNNNNNNNNNNNNNNNNNNNNNNNNNNNNNNNNNNNNNNNNNNNNNNNNNNNNNNNNNNNNNNNNNNNNNNNNNNNNNNNNNNNNNNNNNNNNNNNNNNNNNNNNNNNNNNNNNNNNNNNNNNNNNNNNNNNNNNNNNNNNNNNNNNNNNNNNNNNNNNNNNNNNNNNNNNNNNNNNNNNNNNNNNNNNNNNNNNNNNNNNNNNNNNNNNNNNNNNNNNNNNNNNNNNNNNNNNNNNNNNNNNNNNNNNNNNNNNNNNNNNNNNNNNNNNNNNNNNNNNNNNNNNNNNNNNNNNNNNNNNNNNNNNNNNNNNNNNNNNNNNNNNNNNNNNNNNNNNNNNNNNNNNNNNNNNNNNNNNNNNNNNNNNNNNNNNNNNNNNNNNNNNNNNNNNNNNNNNNNNNNNNNNNNNNNNNNNNNNNNNNNNNNNNNNNNNNNNNNNNNNNNNNNNNNNNNNNNNNNNNNNNNNNNNNNNNNNNNNNNNNNNNNNNNNNNNNNNNNNNNNNNNNNNNNNNNNNNNNNNNNNNNNNNNNNNNNNNNNNNNNNNNNNNNNNNNNNNNNNNNNNNNNNNNNNUAUAAUAUUUUCUAUUUUUUCUUCUUCUCCUCUAUUCCUUUCUUCGUUUUCUCUUUUUUUCUUUUUUUCUUUGAUCUUCUCUUCUAUUCCUUUCUUCUUCUCCUCUUUUUAUUUCUUCUUUUGUCUUCUUAUUUUUUAUCGGGUAUGUCGUUGUCGAUCUCCCGAUAACUUCAAUAUAGGGGGGGGGGUCGAUAUACCCCCUUCCUGAUAACAUUAUUUUCCCAUGUAUGUAUGUCGUCAUUGUCGAUAUAACCCCCUCCCGGAUAACUUCGACAUGAGGGGCGGUCGAUAUAUAUACCCCCUCUCGAUCGUGAUACUUAUACCACGGGAGCGACCCCCCGGCCCUCUCGCUCGACCAAAACUCUUGAGGACACCCAAACCCUAGAAAAAAUGAUGUCGGUCUCCUACCCCCUCCCGCCGCGCCCCUACCCGACAAACUCUCUCGAGGCCACCGAAAUUUACCAAGUUAAAAAAGCGUUGUCAUCGAGGCCACCCCAGACCCUUGAAGCAUUGUCGAGGCCACCCCAAACCCUUGAAGCGUUGAUGAGGCCACCCCAAACCCUAGAGAAGCAGCGUCGAGGCCACUAAUAUGAUUCCUUGUUGUGAUUAGCUAGCUAGUUCUACGUUUGCCACUAAUAGAUCCAUCUACCAUGUUGUAAAUAUUUGCAGAAACUAUGGAGCACCCUCGAGACGAAGUAAUAGAAGCGAUGUUGGGGGACAUAAUCGCAAAAGGAAGUGAUGCCGUAUUGUCGUAUCUCAACGACACCGGUGGUCUGGAAGGACAGGGUGAAGAAGAAGACUAUGAUUAUGAUGGCUCCGGUGACCCAAUGCCGGUACAAGAAGGAGACCGUGAUGACGGCUCCGGUGACCGAACCGAGUCCGGCCAGGUAUAUAUAUUAGUUAAGCCUAUGCUGACUAGCUAAUUGAUGCAUUCAUUGUUUUCAUAUGUACACAUAUUAAUUAACUCUCGUCUUCCUUCUUUUUUCCAGCCCUCCGGAUUGAGCACAACUUCGGUUAAGAGACGAGGCCCGAAGAAAUAGUUGCGUUUGCAUGAAAGGUUUGAGAUCAUAGCAAUCGCGCGCGAUGGCAAGCUGAUUGAACCCAUGCGAACAAAGGAUGCAUUUGCUGCUCAGUGCGGGGUUCUUGUUAGAGACAAGAUCCCGAUCAGUAUCCACCAAUGGUUAAAGCCUAAGAAUGAAGACCCUGAGGUGUCUUAUGUCUCCGAUAUGCAGAAAGAUGAUCUUUGGACAACGCUUAAGGCAAAUUUCGCCCUACCGCCAGAGGAGGAUUCAGAGAAGCCAGUUAAAGAGCAAUUGGUCAAGUCUCAUGCUCUUAAGAAGAUAGCAGAACUAUUCAGGAGGUGGAAGAAUGAGCUGAAAACAGAGUUUUUCAAUGAAGGAAAGACACCAGAAUUCACCGAAAAGUAUGAGAAGAUCAGAGAUCACUGGCCCGCAUUUGUGGCCCACAAGACAUCGGGAAAGAGUAAGAAGAUGUUAGCGACAAACAAGAAAAAUGCAGCGAAAAAGAAGCAUCACCAUCGCACGGGGUCAGGUGGCUACCUCAAAGCCCGACCGUUGUGGGCCAAGGCUGAGAAUGACCUGAUUGAUAAAGGGGUCAAACCAGAGACAUUGAACUCGCCAGACCGUUGCCGGACUUGGUUCUUCGGGGUUGGCGGAACCUUGGACCCUGUAUCAGGGAGGUGCGUUUGGACGGACGAGCAACUGCAAAUACCUAUCACGGGGCUUCAGGAGUAUAUCGAGGCAUCGCAGCAAGGGACGUUCGUUCCAGACAGAGAGAAGGACGAGCUCACAAUGGCCCUCGGGAAUCCUGAGCACCCUGCACGGACACGAGGCACGCCAGGCUCCCUUCCGUGGAAGGCUGGGUUUCUGAACGUAGGGGGUUACAAAUUCCAGGAGAGGAGGAAGAAAGUGGAGCAUAGCCAACUGCAGGCGCUGCACGCAAGGGUACAAGCGAUAGAGGAACGAGAUGCAAAUCACAUCAAAUGACCUGCCGAAGCUUCCCCUGAAGCUACCCCGCCAUCUCAGCGGAGAAGCAGCGUGGCUUCCACCGAGCAACUUCAGCUGGAGCCUGUCUUCACGGCUCCUGCUAACUACCCCGUGGAUGCUAUCACAGAGUCUCAACAUUGCCACCUUAUGAUGUAAAGGAUGAAAUUCAAAUUCAAGGCGGUUGUUGGCUCUAUUUUACCUACUGAACUUGGCGAAACCUACCACUGCCGGUCGAUUCUAGAAGGAUAUGCUAGGGUGAUGGUGGAUGAAAUAACGGACGGAUUUGAUCAGGACCUCGAGCUUGACCACCCUAUGGGUGAAGGGGAGAUUCGGCUGGGUUCUUCUCUGAAGACUCCAUGCUUAUGGUAGAAGGAGCUCAUUAACCUUCUAAACUGGACGCCUCUGCCUCCUCCUCCUCCUCCGGCAAGUUAGGGCACUCCACCUCCUCCUCCGGUGAGUAAUCAGGGCACUCAGCUUCCUCCUCCGACGAGUGAUCAGGGCACUCAGCCUCCUUCUUCGGCGCGUGUCGGCACUCCGCCUCCUUCUCCGCCUGCGCUGGCGCGCCCGAGCAGCCAGCCUCCUCCUUCUCUGCCUCAUCAAUAAGGGCGGAAGAGACCCGCCGCUGCUCCGGCUGCUCCGGCGUGUCGUAGUUUGAUACGUCUCCAAUGUAUCUAUAAUUUUUGAUUGUUUCAUGGUAUUAUAUUACCCCUUUUGGAUGUUUAUGGGCUUUAUUUUACAUAUUUAUAUCAUUUUUGGGACUAACCAACUAACCGGAGGCCCAGCCCGUAUUGCUACUUUUUUUGCCUAUUUCAGUAUUUCGAAGAAAAGGAAUAUCAAACGGAGUCCAAACGGAAUGAAACCUUCGGGAGCGUGAUUUUUGGAACGGACGUGAUCCGGAGAACUUGGAGUGCAAGUCAAGAAGCAAACGAGGUGGCCAGGAGAUAGGAGGGUGCGCCCACCCCUCCUGGGCGCGCCCCUGUCUUCUGGGCCCCUCAGGCGGCCACCGACGUACUUCUUCCUCCUAUAUAUACCUACGUAACCCGAAAACAUCUAGGGAGCCAACGAAAACCUAAUUCCACCGCUGUAACCUUAUGUAUCCGCGAGAUCCCAUCUUGGAGCCUUCGUCGGGGCUCCGCCGGAGGGGGAAUCAACCACGGAGGGCUUCUACAUCAACACCAUAGCCCCUCCGAUGAGUUGUGAGUAGCUUACCACAGACCUUCGGGUCCAUAGUUAUCAGCUAGAUGGCUUCUUCUCUCUUUUUGGAUCUCAAUACAAUGUUCUCCCCCUCUCUUGUGGAGAUCUAUUCGAUGUAAACUCUUUUUGUGGUGUGUUUGUCGAGAUCCGAUGAAUUGUGGGUUUAUGAUCAAGUUUAUCUAUGAGAAAUAUUUGGAUCUUCUCUGAAUUCUUUUAUGUAUGAUUGAGUUAUCUUUGCAAGUCUCUUCGAAUUAUCAGUUUGGUUUGGCCUACUAUAUUGAUCUUUCUUGCCAUUGGAGAAGUGCUUAGCUUUGGGUUCAAUCUGGCGGUGUCCUUACCCAGUGACAGAAAGGGUUGCAAGGCACGUAUUGUAUUGUUGCCAUCGAGGAUAAAAAUAUGGGGUUUAUAUCAUAUUGCAUGAGUUUAUCCCUCUACAUCAUGUCAUCUUUCUUAAUGCGUUACUCUGUUCUUAUGAACUUAAUACUCUAGAUGCAUGUUGGAUAGCGGUCGAUGUGUGGAGUAAUAGUAGUAGAUGCAGGCAGGAGUCGGUCUACUUGUCGCGGACGUGAUGCCUAUAUACAUGAUCAUGCCUAGAUAAUCUCAUAAUUAUUCACUUUUCUAUCAAUUGCUCGACAGUAAUUUGUUCACCCAUCAUAAUACUUAUGCUAUCUUGAGAGAAGCCACUAGUGAAACCUAUGGCCCCCGGGUCUAUCUUUUAUCAUAUAAGAUUUCAAUCUACUUUUAUUUGCAUCUUUACUUUUUGCGUCCAUAUUAUAAAAUACCAAAAAUAUAUUUAUCUCAUCAUACUAUCUCUAUCAGAUCUCACUUUUGCAAGUGUCCGUGAACGGAUCGACAACCCCUUUAUUGCGUUGGUUGCGAGUUCUUUGUUUGUUUGUGUACGUGCAUGGGACUUUUGAGGAGCCUCCUACUGGAUUGAUACCUUGGUUCUCAAAAACUGAGGGAAAUACUUACGCUACUCUGCUGCAUCACCCUUUCCUCUUCAAGGAAAACCAACGCAUGCUCAAGACGUAGCAUAGUCCUUCUCCUCCGCCUCGUAAGAAAGGAAAGAGAGCCGCAGCCGCUCCGUCUGCUCCGCCGUCUAGCAAUACAGCCAGAGGUGGGAGGCAAUACAGAUUCGGUCCUUCUCUGAAGACUCCAGAGAAGUUACCAUACGAGAGGAGCCUGAAGGAAAACGCGAAGAUCGUGUGAGCCGAAGUGAAGAACUUCUUUGAAGGGGUGAAAGCAAAGAAACAUCCACCUCCGGAGGAGAAGAUAGAUCCGGUAAAAGCGAAGUGUACUCUGGCUGCCCUGAAGAAACCACCAAAGUCUCCGCCGGAAGGCAAGUAUGAGCGCAUUAUUGAAAAGUCAUUUAUCAAAGAGGAGCGGUCGGGAAGUACUGUUAGUGAUCAAAGGUUAGCAGAACGACGAGCUGGGAAAAAAAUUACCCAGCUCGGCGAACAAGCGAACCAAUCAUCCCCCCUGCUCCUAGUGUCUAGCGAUAUCGUCGCUAAUGAUCCGAGGAUGAUGUCCGGUUAUAACAAUCUUGGAGAUUACCUGCCAGACGAUGUACAUUAUGAUUUCUUGGAGGUGGACAAACACAAAUACGAGUACGGGAAGCCUCUCGUCAAAGAUGAAAGAUCUCUAACAACGAUGAUGCGAAGAUUCCAUGAUGGGUACAUGAAAACCUGCAGAGAGUCUGAGGGGAGGAAUAUUUUGACGCUGAGAGUUAGAGAGGAGCAUGACCUCGUUGGAAUUGAACUGUUGAAUGUUCCAUUUGACGAGUUCUUCGCGUUUUUCAAUCAAAAGGCCCUUGAUAAAUUAACGGUCACUUGCUACUGCCUGUAAGUAGUACUACUUCUGUCAUUAAGUCUCUAUAUAUAGGUCAGCUCUUUCAUUGCAUGUAUUUUUAAUUAUCCUCACUAUAUUAUGCAGAUUGAAGAUCGCCGAAUUAAAGGAAAGAAAAAUCGGUGAUAUUGGGUUCAUUAAGACAAAUCUCAUAGAUGCAUAUAUGGUUGAAUUUCAGUCCAGAGAUACCGAGGCCAAGUUGCUACAAUCGUUUGUAUUAAAUCAAAACAAAGCUAUAAUACUCUUUCCUUACAACUUCAAGUGAGUGUUACUGUCUUGUGCAUAUUCGGUUUCCCUUAUUAGUCGAGGUUAUAGUUAUUUAAUUGAUUAGUUAUGCAUGCGUGCGCAGCUUCCACUAUAUUCUCCUAGAGAUUAAGCUUGAGCAGGGACUAGUAACCGUCUUAGACUCGAGACGAAAAGAUCCCAAGGAGUAUGUGGAUGUUGGGGAACGUAGUAAUUUCAAAAAAAUUCCUACGCACACGCAAGGAUCAUGGUGAUGCAUAGCAACGAGAGGUGAGAGUGUUGCCCACGUACCCUCGUAGACCGAAAGCGGAAGCGUUAGAACAACGCGUUUGAUGUAGUCGUACAUCUUCAUGAUCCGACCGAUCCAAGUACCGAACGUACGGCACCUCCGAGUUCAGCACACGUUCAGCUCGAUGACGAUCCCCGGACUCCGAUCCAGCAGUGUGUCGGGGAUGAGUUCCGUCAGCACGACGGCGUGGUGACAAUGAUGAUGUUCUACCGACGCAGGGUUUCGCCUAAGCACCGCAACAAUAUGAACGAGGUGGAAUAUGGUGGAGGGGGCACCACACACAGCUAAGGAACGGUCACGAAGAUCAACUUGUGUGUCUUUGGGGUGCCCCCCUGCCCCCGUAUUUAAAGGAGCAAGGGGGGGGGGGGCGGGGCGGCCACCCCUUGGGGCGCGCCAAGGAGGGGGGAGUCCUCCUCCUAGUAGGAGUAGGACUCCCCUUUCCUAGUCCAACUAGGAAGAGGGAAGGGGGAAGGAAAGAGAGGGAGAGGGAGAGGGAAAGAGGGGCCGCGCCCCUCUCCCCUAGUCCAAUUCAGACUCCUCAUGGGAGGGGGCACGCCACCUCCUAGGCUGCUUCCCUCUCUCUCCCCUCAGGCCCACUAAGGCCCAAUACUUCCCCGGGGGGUUCCGGUAACCCCUCCGGCACUUCGGUUUUCUCCGAAAUCACCCGGAACACUUCCGGUGUCUGAAUAUAGUCGUACAAUAUAUCAAUCUUUAUGUCUCGACCAUUUCGAGACUCCUCGUCAUGUCCGUGAUCACAUCCGGGACUCCGAACAACCUUCAGUACAUCAAAACUUAUAAACUCAUAAUAAAAUUGUCAUCGUAACGUUAAGCGUGCGGACCCUACGGGUUCGAGAACUAUGUAGACAUGACUUAGAACUGUUUCCGGUCAAUAACCAAUAGCGGAACCUAGAUGCUCAUAUUGGCUCCUACAUAUUCUACGAAGAUCUUUAUCGGUCAAACCGCAUAACAACAUACGUUGUUCCCUUUGUCAUCGGUAUGUUACUUGCCUGAGAUUGGAUCAUCGGUGUCCAAUACCUAGUUCAAUCUCGUUAUGGGCAAGUCUCUUUACUCGUUACAUAAUGCAUCAUUCCGUAACCAACUCAUUGGCCACAUUGCUUGCAAGGCUUAUAGUGAUGUGCAUUACCGGGAGGGCCAAGAGAUACCUCUCUGACAAUCGAAGUGGCAAAACCUAAUCUUGAAAUAUGCCAAAUCAACAUGUACCAUUGGAGACACCUGUAGAGCUCCUUUAUAAUCACCCAGUUACGUUGUGAUGUUUGGUAGCACACAAAGUGUUCAUCUGGUAAACGGGAGUUACACAAUCUCAUAGUUGUAGGAACUUUGUAUAAGUCAUGAAGAAAGCAAUAGCAACAUAUUAAACGAUCAAUUGCUAAGCUAACGGAAUGGGUCCGGUCAAUCACAUCAUUCUCCUAAUGAAGUGACCCCGUUAACCAAAUGACAACACAUGUCUAUGGUUUAGGAAACAUAACCAUCUUUGAUUAAUGACCUAGUCAAGUAGAGGCAUACUAGUGACAUUAAGUUUGUCUAUGUAUUCACACAUGUAUCAUGUUUCCGGUUAAUACAAUUCUAGCAUGAAUAAUAAACAUUUAUCAUGAUAUGAGGAAAUAAAUAAUAACUUUAUUAUUGCCUCUAGGGCAUAUUUCCUUCAGUCCCCACUUGCACUAGAGUCAAUAAUCUAGAUUACACAGUAAUGAUUCUAACACCCAUGGAGUCUUGGUGUUGAUCAUGUUUUGCUCGUGGAAGAGGCUUAGUCAAUGGGUCUGCAACAUUCAGAUCCGUAUGUAUCUUGCAAAUCUCUAUGUCUCCCACCUGGACUUGGUCCCGGAUGGAAUUGAAGCGUCUCUUGAUGUGCUUGGUCGUCUUGUGAAAUCUAGAUUCCUUUGCCAAGGCAAUUGCACCAGUAUUGUCACAGAAGAUCUUCAUUGGUGCCGAUGUACUAGGUAUGACACCUAGAUCGGAAAUGAACUCCUUCAUCCAGACUCCUUCAUUUGCUGCUUCCGAAGCAGCUAUGUACUCCGCUUCGCAUGUAGAUCCCGCCACGACGCUUUGUUUAGAACUGCACCCAUUUACAGCUCCACCGUUUAAUAAAAACACGUAUCCGGUUUGCGAUUUAGAAUCGUCCGGAUCAGUGUCAAAGCUUGCAUCAACGUAACCAUUUAUGACUAGCUCUCUGUCACCUCCAUAAACGAGAAACAUAUCCUUAGUCCUUUUCAGGUAUUUCAGGAUGUUCUUGACCGCUGUCCAGUGAUCCACCCUGGAUUACUUUGGUACCUACCUGCCAAGCUUAUUGCUAAGCAUACAUCAGGUCUGGUACACAACAUUGCAUACAUGAUAGAGCCUAUGGCUGAAGCAUAGGGAACAUCUUUCAUUUUCUCUCUAUCUUCUGUUGUGGUCGGGCAUUGAGUCUGACUCAACUUCACACCUUGUAAUAUAGGCAAGAACCCUUUCUUUGCUUGAUCCAUUUUGAAAUUUUUCAAAACUUUAUCAAGGUAUGUGCUUUGUGAAACUCCAAUUAAGCAUCUUGAUCUAUCUCUAUAGAUCUUGAUGCCCAAUAUGUAAGCAGCUUCACCGAGGUCUUUCAUUGAAAAACUUUUAUUCAAGUAUCCCUUUAUGCUAUCCAGAAAUUCUAUAUCAUUUCCAAUUAACAAUAUGUCAUCUACAUAUAAUAUCAGAAAUGCUACAGAGCUCCCACUCACUUUUUUGUAAAUACAGGCUUCUCCAAAAGUCUGUAUAAAACCAUAUGCUUUGAUCAAACUAUCAAAGCAUUUAUUCCAACUCCGAGAUGCUUGAACCAGUCCAUAAAUGGAUCGCUGGAGCUUGCACACUUUGUUAGCACCUUUUGGAUCAACAAAACCUUCUGGUUGCAUCAUAUACAACUCUUCUUCCAGAAAUCCCUUCAGGAAUACAAUUUUAACAUCCAUUUGCCAAAUUUCAUAAUCAUAAAAUGCUGCAAUUGCUAACAUGAUUCGGACAGACUUAAUCAUUGCUACGAGUGAGAAAGUCUCAUCAUAGUCAACCCCUGGAACUUGUCGAAAACCUUUCGCAACAAGUCGAGCUUUGUAGACAAUUAUAUUACCAUCAGCGUCAGUCUUCUUCUUGAAGAUCCAUUUAUUCUCGAUGGCUUGCCGAUCAUCGGGAAAGUCAACCAAAGUCCAUACUUUGUUCUCAUACAUGGAUUCCAUCUCAUAUUUCAUGGCCUCAAGCCAUUUCGCGGAAUCUGGGCUCAUCAUCGCUUCCUCAUAGUUUGUAGGUUUGCCAUGGUCAAGUAACAUGACUUCCAGAAUAGGAUUAUCGUACCACUCUGGUGCGGAUCUUACUCUGGUAGACCUACGAGGUUCAGUAGUAAUUUGAUCUGAAGUUUCAUGAUCAAUAUCAUUAGCUUCCUCACUAAUUGGUGUAGUUGUCACAGGAACCGGUUCUUGUGAUGAACUACUUUCCAGCAAGGGAGCAGGUACAGUUACCUCAUCAAGUUCUACUUUCCUCCCACUCACUUCUUUCGAGAGAAACUCCUUCUCUAGAAAGGAUCCAAAUUUAGCAAUAAAAAUCUUGCCUUCAGAUCUGUGAUAGAAGGUGUACCCAAUAGUCUCUUUUGGGUAUCCUAUGAAGACACAUUUCUCCGAUUUGGGUUCGAGCUUAUCUGGUUGAAGUUUCUUCACAUAAGCAUCGCAACCCCAAACUUUAAGAAACGACAACUUUGGUUUCUUGCGAAACCACAGUUCAUAAGGCGUCGUCUCAACGGAUUUUGAUGGUGCCCUAUUUAACGUGAAUGCGGCCGUCUCUAAAGCAUAACCCCAAAAUGAUAGCGGUAAAUCAGUAAGAGACAUCAUAGAUCGCACCAUAUCUAAUAAAGUACAAUUACGAUGUUCGGACACACCAUUUCGUUGUGGUGUUCCAGGUGGCGUGAGUUGUGAAACUAUUCCGUAUUGUUUCAAAUGUAGACCAAACUCGUAACUCAAAUAUUCUCCUCCACGAUCAGAUCGUGGAAAUUUUAUUUUCUUGUUACGAUGAUUUUCCACUUCACUCUGAAAUUCUUUAAACUUUUCAAAUGUUUCGGACUUGUGUUUCAUCAAGUAGAUAUACCCAUAUCUGCUCAAAUCAUCUGUGAAGGUGAGAAAAUAACGAUACCCGCCACGAGCUUCAAUAUUCAUUGGGACACAUACAUCAGUAUGUAUGAUUUCCAAUAAAUCAGUUGCUCGCUCCAUAGUUCCGGAGAACGGCGUUUUAGUCAUCUUGCCCAUGAGGCACGGUUCGCAAGUACCAAGUGAUUCAUAAUCAAGUGAUUCCAAAAGUCCAUCAGUAUGGAGUUUCUUCAUGCGCUUUACACCGAUAUGACCUAAACGGCAGUGCCACAAAUAAGUUGCACUAUUAUUAUGAACUCUACAUCUUUUGGCUUCAACAUUAUGAAUAUGUGUAUCACUACUUUCGAGAUUCAAUAAAAAAAGACCACUCUUCAAGGGUGCAUGACCAUAAAAGAUAUUACUCAUAUGAAUAGAACAACCAUUAUUCUCUAAUUUAAAUGAAUAACCGUCUCGCAUCAAACAAGAUCCAGAUAUAAUAUUCAUGCUCAAUGCUGGCACCAAAUAACAAUUAUUUAGGUCUAAAACUAAUCCCGAUGGUAGAUGUAGAGGUAGCGUGCCGACCGCGAUCACAUCGACUUUGGAACCAUUUCCCACGCGCAUCGUCACCUCGUCCUUAGCCAAUCUUCGCUUAAUCCGUAGUCCCCAUUUCGAGUUGCAAAUAUUAGCAACAGAACCAGUAUCAAAUAUCCACGUGCUACUGCGAGCAUUAGUAAGGUACACAUCAAUAACAUGUAUAUCACAUAUACCUUGGUUCACUUUGCCAUCCUUCUUAUCCGCCAAAUACUUGGGGCAGUUCCGCUUCCAGUGUCCAGUUUUGUUGCAGUAGAAGCACUCAGUCUCAGGCUUAGGUCUAGACUUGGGUUUGUUCUCUUGAGCAGCAACUUGUUUGUUGUUCUUCUUGAAGUUCCCCUUCUUCUUCCCUUUGCCCUUUUUCUUGAAACUGGUGGUCUUAUUGACCAUCAACACUUGAUGCUCCUUCUUGAUUUCUACCUCCGCAGCCUUUAGCAUUGCGAAAAGCUCAGGAAUAGUCUUGUCCAUCCCUUGCAUAUUAUAGUUCAUCACGAAGUUCUUGUAGCUUGGUGGCAGUGAUUGAAGAAUUUUGUCAAUGACACUAUCAUCAGGAAGGUUAACUCCCAGUUGAAUCAAGUGAUUAUUAUACCCAGACAUUUUGAGUAUGUGUUCAUUGACAGAACUAUUCUCCUCCAUCUUACAGCUAUAGUACUUAUUGGAGACUUCAUAUCUCUCAAUCCGGGCAUUUGCUUGAAAUAUUAACUUCAACUCCUGGAACAUCUCAUAUGCUCCAUGAUGUUCAAAACAUCGUUGAAGACCCGGUUCCAAGCCGUAAAGCAUGGCACACUGAACUAUCGAGUAGUCAUCAGCUUUGCUCUGCCAGACGUUCUUAACAUCGUUAGUUGCAUCUGCAGCAGGCCUGGCACCCAGCGGUGCUUCCAGGACGUAAUUCUUCUAUGCAGCAAUGAGGAUAAUCCUCAGGUUACGGAACCCAGUCCGUGUAAUUGCUACCAUCAUCUUUCAACUUAGCUUUCUCAAGGAACACAUUAAAAUUCAACGGAACAACAACACGAGCCAUCUAUCUACAACAAACGUAGACAAGUAAAAUACUAUCAGGUACUAAGUUCAUGAUAAAUUUAAGUUCAAUUAAUCAUAUUACUUAAGAACUACCACUUAGACAGACAUCUCUCUAGUCAUCUAAGUGAUCACGUGACCCAAAUCAACUAAACCAUGUCCGAUCAUCACGUGAGAUGGAGUAGUUUCAAUGGUGAACAUCACUAUGUUGAUCAUAUCUACUAUAUGAUUCACGUUCGAACUUUCGGUCUACGUGUUCCGAGGCUAUAUCUGUAUAUGCUAGGCUCGUCAUGUUUAACCUGAGUAUUCCGCGUGUGCAACUGUUUUGCACCCGUUGUAUUUGAACGUAGAGCCUAUCACAUCCGAUCAUCACGUGGUGUCUCAGCACGAAGAAUUUUCGCAAUGGUGCAUACUCAGGGAGAACACUUCUUGAUAAUUAGUGAGAGAUCAUCUUAAAAUGCUACCGUCAAUCAAAGCAAGAUAAGAUGGAUAAAGGAUAAACAUCACAUGCAAUCAAUAUAAGUGAUAUGAUAUGGCCAUCAUCAUCUUGUGCUUGUGAUCUCCAUCUCCGAAGCACCGUCGUGAUCACCAUUGUCACCGGCGUGACACCUUGAUCUCCAUCGUAGCAUCGUUGUCGUUACGCCAUCUAUUGCUUCUACGACUAUCGCUACCGCUUAGUGAUAAAGUAAAGCAAUUACAGGGCGUUUGCAUUUCAUACAAUAAAGCGACACCCAUAUGGUUCCUGCCAAUUACCGAUAACUCGGUUACAAAACAUGAUCAUCUCAUACAAUAAAAUAUAGCAUCACAUCUUGACCAUAUAACAUCACAUCAUGCCCUGCAAAAACAAGUUAGACGUCCUCUACUUUGUUGUUGCAAAUUUUACGUGGCUGCUACGGGCUUAGCAAGAACCGUUCUUACCUACGCAUCAAAACCACAACGAUAGUUUGUCAAGUUGGUGCUGUUUUAAUCUUCGCAAGGACCGGGCGUAGCCACACUCGGUUCAACUAAAGUGAGAGAGACAGACACCCGCCGGUCACCUUUAAGCAACGAGUGCUCGUAGCGGUGAAACCAGUCUCGCGUAAGCGUACGCGUAAUGUCGGUCCGGGCCGCUUCAUCUCACAAUGCCGCUGAACCAAAGUAUGACAUGCUGGUAAGCAGUAUGACUUAUAUCGCCCAUAACUCACUUGUGUUCUCGUGCAUAUGACAUCUACGCAUAAAACCUGGCUCGGAUGCCACUGUUGGGGAACGUAGUAAUUUCAAAAUUUUCCUACGCACACACAAGGAUCAUGGUGAUGCAUAGCAACGAGAGGGGAGAGUGUUGUCCACGUACCCUCGUAGACCGAAAGCGGAAGAGUUAGAACAACACGGUUGAUGUAGUCGUACGUCUUCACGAUCCGACCGAUCCAAGUACCGAACGUACGGCACCUCCGAGUUCAGCACACGUUCAGCUCGAUGACGAUCCCCGGACUCCGAUCCAGCAGGGUGUCGGGGAUGAGUUCCGUCAGCACGACGGCGUGGUGACGAUGAUGAUGUUCUAUUGACGCAGGGCUUCUCCUAAGCACCGCAACGAUAUGAACGAGGUGGAAUAUGGUGGAGGGGGGCACCGCACACGGCUAAGGAACGAUCACGAAGAUCAACUUGUGUGUCUUUGGGGUGCCCCCCUGCCCCCGUAUAUAAAGGAGCAAGGGGGGGUGGCUGGCCCUUAGGGCGCGCCAAGGAGGGGGAGUCCUCCUCCUAGUAGGAGUAGGACUCCCCUUUCCUAGUCCAACUAGGAAGAGGGAAGGGGGAAGGAAAGAGAGGGAGAGGGAGAGGGAAAGAGGGGCCGCGCCCCCCUCCCCUAGUCCAAUUCAGACUCCUCAUGGGAGGGGCACGCCACCUCCUGGGCUGCUUCCCUCUCUCUCUCCUCAGGCCCACUAAGGCCCAAUACUUCCCCGGGGGGUUCCGGUAACCCCUCCGGCACUCUGGUUUUCUCCGAAAUCACCUGGAACACUUCCGGUGUCUGAAUAUAGUCAUCCAAUAUACCAAUCUUUAUGUCUCGACCAUUUCGAGACUCCUCGUCAUGUCCGUGAUCACAUCUGGGACUCUGAACAACCUUAGGUACAUGAAAAUGUGUAAACUCAUAAUAAAACCGUCAUCGUAAUGUUAAGCGUGCGGACCCUACGGGUUCGAGAACUAUAUAGACAUGACCUAGAACUGUUUCCGGUCAAUAACCAAUAGCGGAACCUGGAUGCUCAUAUUGGCUCCUACAUAUUCUACGAAGAUCUUUAUCGGUCAAACCGCAUAACAACAUACGUUGUUCCCUUUGUCAUCGGUAUGUUACUUGCCCGAGAUUCGAUCGUCGGUAUCCAAUACCUAGUUCAAUCUCGUUACCGGCAAGUCUCUUUACUUGUUACGUAAUGCAUCAUUCCGUAACCAACUCAUUGGCCACAUUGCUUGCAAGGCUUAUAGUGAUGUGCAUUACCGAGAGGGCCCAGAGAUACCUCUCUGACAAUCGGAGUGACAAAACCUAAUCUUGAAAUACGCCAACUCAACAUGUACCAUUGGAUACACCUGUAGAGCUCCUUUAUAAUCACCCAGUUACGUUGUGACGUUUGGUAGCACACAAAGUGUUCCUCCGGUAAACGGGAGUUGCAUAAUCUCAUAGUUGUAGGAACUUUGUAUAAGUCAUGAAGAAAGCAAUAGCAACAUACUAAACGAUCAAUUGCUAAGCUAACGGAAUGGGUCAGGUCAAUCACAUCAUUCUCCUAAUGAUGUGAUCCCGUUAAUCAAAUGACAACACAUGUCUAUGGUUUAGGAAACAUAACCAUCUUUGAUUAAUGAGCUAGUCAUGUAGAGGCAUACUAGUGACAUUAAGUUUGUCUAUGUAUUCACACAUGUAUCAUGUUUCCGGUUAAUACAAUUCUAGCAUGAAUAAUAAACAUUGAUCAUGAUAUGAGGAAAUAAAUAAUAACUUUAUUAUUGCCUCUAGGGCAUAUUUCCUUCAGCGGACAUGACUGAAAUUCUAGAGAAGUAAGUUAAAUCGAUCAUUAUCGUACCAUAUCAGCAACUUUGUUCAUUUCCUGAUAUCAAGUAAUUGUUUUCUUUGUCUGGCAGGGUUUGGAAAAAAUUCACCUCAAAAACUCCGGGACUGCCGAAAAAGCUGCAAUUUAAACACCCGAAAGUAAGUACUAUAGUAGUAUGUUCCACGCAUCUCCUAGUGAUGCAAGCGCUAGUUUCAUCAAUACCAUUUAGUAUGCUUGAUUAUCAAUUUGAUUGACCUAUAUUUCUUGUAAAGUGGUUGUGGCAGGAACAAGGGAAUGAUUAUUGUGGAUACUACAUUUGUGAGUCCAUCCGCCACACGACCUGUGAGCGGGGCUACUCUGACAAACAAUAUGAAGUGCAUAAAUAAUAAUAUCACAAUUUUAUUUCAUUACCAUCAUUUAUGUUGAGUUUCAUUUAUUCAUAUAUAUGUAUUGACCCCCUUCUUCAAAUUAGAUAUUUCGGAUGCGGGAUGAACUCCUACCACCAGAUCGUAUGCGAGCAAUUCAAGAGGAAUUGGCGGCAUUCUUUCUUGACCACGUGAUCGAUAAAGGCGGAGAAUACCAUGUGGACCCUGAGUUCAUAUAUAAUUAGGAGAUUAUAUUGUAAGAGAUAAUUAUGUUGUAUAUAUGUAGCCAGUAGCGUCGGAUAGAUAUACGAGAACUUGUUGUUCGACAAAUCUCUGAAAGAAGGAGAGGUGGUCAAUAUCACUUCUCUCUGUAUGCAUAUGUUCAUGACGAUCUUCUGUUUCCUUCAUUUCCUUACUAGCUAGCGUGUCUAGUCCUCUCUAUACGUAUAGUACGUAGCGUCGACCAAGCACGGAGAUAACAGAGGACACUUCUCUCUAUUAAUUAGCUAGCUAACACAAUAUAUGAAACACCUAAAUUAACCCCCCAAAACCCCCAACCCCUCCCCCCCACUUUAAGAAAAAACCCAGCCCCUGAAAUGCUGACGCGUGGAUGCCUAUUGGUCCCGGUUGGUAUCACCAACCGGGACCAAAGGGCCUCCUGCCUGGGCUCGCCGAACCGGCCAUGUGGAGGCCCAUGUGUCCCGGUUGGUAUAAGAACCGGGACUAAAGGUCUAGGGCAUUAGUAACGACACUUUAGUCCCGGUUCAAUAACCGGGACAAAUGGCCCUUACGAACCGGGACAAUAGGCCCUUUUUCUACUAGUGGGACAAUUUCAUCAGCAUUGCUAACCAUUCUAUAGAAAGCCUUGGCAGAGGAGGUUGGUUCUUCAUCAAUUGGUGGAGGACAGUUGCCACCUAGGUCAACUAACAUAUUGUCCAUUCGGUCAAUUUCAUCGUGCCUCGCACAAUUUGUGGCAGAGGAAGAUCCAUCUUGGCUAGGAACAUACUUGUCACCAUGUUCUAUCCACGUUUCAUAGUUUUCUCUAAUCCCGUAUUUAUACAAGUGUUUCUCUACCUCAUCCUACCGUGCUUAUUAUAAUUACGACACUUGGCACAUGGACACUUGAUUUUACCACAUUCGGCUACACCGGGACAAGAGAAUGCAUGGUCUAGAAAUCGGUUGGUUUGUUCAAGCCAUAAGUUAGAAGGUAUUUGACCAUACUGCCAACCACUAUACAUCCAUGCAUGAUCUGCCAUCUAACAAAUUCUAUGUUGAAAGUGGAAUAUAUCAGCUAUUUGAUUAUUUAAUCUCAACACAUCAUACUUAAGAUGAGUUAUUCAACAACAGCAAUACAUGUGUAGCAAUUGGAAUCAAAUAGAUGUACACAUAAGAUAAACAUUUAAAGCUAAAAGUUAAAUGCUUACCAAAGGCUUGCUGAAAUAGUGAAAAAAUGUGGAGUCACCAAGCUGGCUAACAAACUCCCAAAGUCCACUAGCAGAUCCAAGAUCUAAUCC